Molecule: long non-coding RNA, 62166 nt
Filed under: Setaria italica (foxtail millet)
Lineage: Eukaryota; Viridiplantae; Streptophyta; Magnoliopsida; Poales; Poaceae
Description: long non-coding RNA (SITA_LNC006442)
Source: RNAcentral
CACCUCCCUUCCUCCUCCCAGCGGCCUAUCCGUCGGUCGCGACGACGGCUGCUACAUCUACCGGUGCGCCUUCCUCGCCAUCGACGUCGCCGAUGCCAGCUUCGUGCUGCUGGUCAUGGACGUGAAGCUGCGGCCGCGGACCUUCUGGUUGGAGGACGGCGAGUGGGGCCCCCUCCGCCGGCUCUCCUCGCCGUGGGAUAUCUUCACGGACGAGGACUGGACCUGAGGUCUGACGUGGAGGUCCCACGCCGCCGUCGUCGGGGACACCGUGCACUGGCUCUGCAUCAAGACCGACUUCGGCCGGUUCCCCAGCCUCCGCUCCCCGUUCCAUAGCACCCGCCAGAAUCGCCUGGUCAUCCUCGCCUUAGAGGCCGACGCGGUAGACACGGCCGAGGUGAUCGAGCUGCCGCAGGCCUGCCUCGAAAGCUUUGGGCGCAGGAUAACCACCUCCUCGCCGGAUUGAUGACCGAGCUGUUGUGUUGCAAGUGAAAAAGAAUGAGUCACGUGAUUCUUAAUACCUCCAAGCCAUUAUCAGUCGGAUUGAUGACAACAAAGAUUGCAGUACCAAGUACCAUACAUGCAUAUUUUAUUUAUGAACUAUAGUUGGUUUUAUGUCUUUCUUUCCAAACAUUAAAAACAAUGAAUUCCAGAAAAUGCAUACAAUCUCAUCGAGCAGAGAAUAACACUAGAAUGAUCCAACGAAGAAUUCUAAUGAAAUCAAGCUAGCACAUGCAUGGGCUCUACAAUCAAACAAUUGUGCUCAGAUCUUGUGUCUGCAUCACGGAACGUAAGUAGUAACAGGUGUCCGCAUCAUGGAUCUUAUUAAAACCUUCUUAGCUUCAUCAAGACCAGAAAAAACUCUGGCAACUCAUCCUAGCUGACAGAAUUACCUCACUUGUAAGUACAUACUGCCCUUCCCAUCCCCAGCAGAUUCAUCUUGAACAUCCAUGCCAACCAGAUUUUGAUUUCUCCCCAUUUUUUUACUAGACAUUGCACUGCCACCAGCGUCCACACCAUCCUUCUCUUUACAGAACCCAUACUAGAGUCACAAAUCCUCAUCCCUACACACAAAAAAUCCAAAUCUUUGUAAGUAGACAAAUUAAGUACCCAGCGGAAAAACUAAACUUGAAAGAUGAAAUCCAACAACACUUUAUGCAAGCGUUUUAAAAAAUAGGAACAUUUCUUGUAGGCAUGCGAGAAGUAGAGGCAGAACACAGAGGAAGAACCAGUAGGCAUGUGAGAAGAAGAGGGACCCCCAUGACGACCAGGCCAACUUCCUGUAUUACAAUGAAAUGAGAAGGGCAAGUUUGGAAUGCAAAUAGAUCGAAAUACAAGGCAUGCAUUCGAUUUCAAAAAUUGGAACAUUUCUAGGAUUCAUGGGAGAAGCAAAAAGGAGGAGACCUUUACAAAAUAGAGUACAAUGAGACCUUUACAAAUAGAGUACACUGGGGCACCACAAUCAAAUAUGCAAGAGACACACGCAGGCAUGCAUUCCAUUCAAAAAAUUGGAACUCUAGAAUCAUACAAGAAGCAAAAGAUGGGGGACUUUUAGAAUGCAAUGAUGAGAACUCACCUCACCAAAACACUCCAGUAGCGGAGCCUUUUUCUGGCAGAUGUAUCGUUUGACUGCUCCUUCAGCCGGGGCCUCGCAUGCCUGUUCCAUCCAUCCGUCUCGAUCCAUCCUUGAGUUCCCCUGACCUUGCAGUCCCGCUGCUGCUGCUCUUACACAUGCAGCGCAGCGCAAGCACACUCGCUGUCAUGCCGUACACGGGCGAGUUUAGACUCUGCAUCUUCACCGGGAAGAGUUCAUGCUUAGAACCAUCACCGCCGGCUACACAGGCCCAAGGAAGAAAAAAAGCGCAUCAUUAGCUAUCAAGAACAAAUAAGAGAACUUUUUCCUUGAACGUCAAAGACAGUAGCAAGCGCACAAAUCACUCAGUAGAUCUCAAAUCUAGAUCUAGGAUACGAACCUGUGAACCCGGCGAACCUUGUGGCCUCAGACCCUCCCCACGGAGCGGCGACUUCCCGAUACAUGCGGCUUGUUGAACUCCAUCGCACAAAACUCAGUGUGGUCGGCGGCGGCGUUGAGCGCCGGCGGGCGGCAGGGAGAACAGGAGAGUCGAGUCGAAUGGAUUACAAGGAGCAUUUACAUCAAACGGGGAGCACCGCUGGAGCGCCAGCUCCACAACCAGGCAACUUUUCCAGGCCAAACAACCGAAACGAGGCACGCGAUGGGUUGACUACAUGGGACCCACCUCUAUAAACAAAUGUAAGUCCGUGGGACCUUUCGCAUGCAGCUGGUACCUUUUCACCGCAUCCCAAGGCUCGCAGGUGGGACCUUUUCGCCCGGGCGCUGUUGGAAGCUCCGCGGCCGCUUGUACGUACAUCUGGUUUUUUCCAGUCUGGUCGUCGUCUCGUCGCGUGCGCUACUACUACUAGGACCCCGCAUUAGGAGGGCGUGCGCGCAGGUCUAUUUGCGACAUACAUGGUGCCACGUGGCGUCGGCGUCGGGAAACCUAAGCGGCUUCCGAAAGCCCGGAAGUUAUCUCGUGGCCGUGCACCAACAGGCUCAUCAAAGCCCAGCUUUCCACGGGCCUUGGCGCCAGCCCAGCAUGAGGUGCAGUUUGCAGAUAGAGCAUGCACAAAAAAGUAACAGACGUCUCAUGCCUCGAAACAAAGAGGCGAGAUCUCUCUUGCAAGUAUGCACAGCAUGUGUCAAGGUGGCUGCUACGUUCCAUCUGCUUUCAAAGGAUAUGGUGACCGUAUUGUAUGACAUACAUUCGCGUAGCAAAUUUGCUCGGGAUUCUCAUACCAACUAUUGUAACAGCAAUCAGUUCCAGCCCUUAGAUACAUUUCAGUACCCUCACUGGCUCACUGCAACUGCAUCCAGACCAAGGCACUCUUUGAUACCCGGUUAAACUUUAACCUUGUCACAUCGAAUAUUUAUAUAUUAAUUAAGAGUAUUAAAUAUAAUCUAAUUACAAAACUAAUUGUACUGGAGGCAAAUUCACGAGACAAAUCUAUUAAGGCCCCGUUUGGAUCCCUUCAUUUGAAAGAAUUGGAAUCUACUUAAUGGAGUAGGCUAAUUUAUCUUGUAACGUGGCAUUCCACAACUUUCCAAAGUUUAGAUAUAAGCCUAUCUUAAAUUCAUGGGGUGGGAGAUGGAAAUUGAUUCUAUAGAUUAUGAUUAUUAGAAUGGAAUUCAAUUCUUAUAGCACGCUCUUGAACUCGCUUCCCUAUAUAGAAGUGCAGCACAUAAGUAUCUCUCCCAUAUCGCCAACAAUAAUAUACAAAUAUAUUCCACAUACAAUUAUAGUAGCUUAAUUAAUUCGUGUCUAAAUUAUGAUUAUUAGAAUGGAAUUCAAUUCCAAUGAUCCAAACGGGACCUAAGCCUAAUUAGUUCACGAUUUGACAAUAUGAUACUACAGUAACCAUUUGCUAAUGAUGGAUUAAUAAAUUCAUCUCGCGAAUUAGCCUAAGGCUUCUACAAUUAGUUUUAUAAUUAGUUCAUGUUUAGUCCUUCUAAUUAGCAUCCAAACAUUCGAUGUAACAAGAGCUAAACUUUGGCCCAAAGAUCCAAACACGCCCUAAAGCAAAACACUAGCAGUACAGGAGAGUUAGGGCCUGUUUGGUUUGAGUUGCUUAUUAUAAGCAACUUAAAGUUGCUUAUUUUUUGGUCUAACUGUUUGGAUACCCUUGCUUAUAAGCAUUGAAUGAGAUGGACAUUAUCAUAUUUGCCCCUUGUGUUGCUACCCCUCAUCUUUGCCUCCCCACACUUCUUCUUCCUGCACAAUGUGUACCAGAAUCCGAAUCCACAAAACACAAUGGCCCCCGCUUCCUCCAUGCAUGGCCUAGAUCCAUGCCUCCACACCAGAAUCGGGCAGGGAGCGGCAGCAGCUCGCCGAGGCGGCGAUGGGGCGGGAGUGGUGGGCGGAGGCUAUCUGCCUAGCGCGACGGCAGGCGGCGCGGAGGCGGGCGGCGGGUGGCGCGGAGGCCAACGUCGGCGGGUGGCCCGGAGGAAGGGGAGCUGGUGAGUGGUGAUGGGGGAGGGGGGGAGAGAGAGAGGUAGGAUGCAUUAAAUGAAGGCAGGAGGUGUAAAGUGCCCCUUUUAGUCCCCAUAAGCAACCAUAAGCAACCUCAUAAGCAAGAGUGAUUGGUUUGAUAAGCAACUUAUUUAUUUAUUUUAAGUUGAUUAUGCAUAAGCAAGUGCCCUUAAUCUUACCACCAUUCAUUAAAAAUGCAGGCGCGUGAAUUUAUCAGCAUUUACUCCCAACCACCUGACUUUUCAGCCAAUUCAAAGAAGUAUAUCAGCUUUAACACCUCCUCCAUUUGAGAAUAUAUAUUUGACCCUCCGGUCAUCGGCAGAUUACGUUAGGGCAGGAUAAUCCUGUCCCAACGUUAACUUUUGAUGACCAGAGUAAUGGACAAUACAAUGUCUCCAAUAAUCAACUUUGAGCAUCCGUUCUUGUAAUAGCAGUUAGCACUGACAUGUCAGUAAUACAAAAAAAAAAGGUUACAGCAAUUUAUCAACGGACGAUUCACAAAUUUGAAUUAAAAUGUUAUAUCAAUGAAUGUAAAACUGUAGAAGUCAUACCCUCCUGCUAUUUGAGAACUGAGCUACUCUGAUGCAUGUAGGGCGACAAUAAGAAACUCUAGUUCCACUUCCAGAUGCACUAUCACCAACUUCCUGACCAUGUCCACUACUGAACUGCCUUUGUAGCCAAGAGUGAUUGUGGACAUCAAGAUGCUCUAACACAAAGACUCAUCUGGCCCAAUCACAAAGACGCGAGAAUAAAGCAUUCUCAUCAGCAGAAAAAGAUUAUUCACUACAAAUGACCAAUAUUCUGAACUGGAAAUGGAUAUAACAGAAAUUUUCUGGUGCGUGCAGUCAUGGAACAAAAACAAUAGUGGACUGCUCAACCCUUAAGCAUUUGUUAAUGAGGCUUGGUUCACGUAUAUUUUGAACACUAGAAUUGUUGACAAAAGGUUUCGGUAGACCUAGGAUUACUUACAACAUUGAAGGAUAUUCAGUCAACAAUAGCACCUGAGAACUAGAACUUUGGUAUUUCCUAUUGACUUCCAUGUCAGUAGUCAUUACUAGCAAAGCAAAGUUUAACAGAAAAAAGGUUAAAAGAAAAGGUAGAAAGGAGCGAGUAUCAACAAUGUAUGUCACAGACACUCCGUCCAUUCUUUAAUCUACUUAUAUCAGCCAGCCUUUUUAGUGAGGGCAUAGGCGUCCAUAGUUCCUUGUUAUAAUCUUAAGUUACAUCAGCCAGCCUUUUAAUAGCUUUUAUGGCAACUCGCCAGAGGUGCUUAUAGGAUGAUAUAAUCUACCCAUUUCGCAGCACGGAUGAUUAGUUGAUUAUCCCUGUAUUACCAAAAAAAUGAAUGAUUAGAAAGUUACUAUAAAGAUAUAGGAAUCAAGGAGCAACUUAUGACAAAAGGCGGAAGCAUGACAGCACAGAAUGUAUAAAUUUCCAUACAACCAGGUCACACAUAAAGGAAUAGCACGAUAUGUAAUUGAUAUAAAACAUUGCUGAACGUUAAUGGAGUAUUUGCAUAUGUGUAUAGGGCAAAACCAAGCAACCUACUAACUCUAUUCAAGGGCCAUCAUAAAUCGCUAGUGCUGAUCCCUUAGUAACUCAAUAUCAGGGUGAACCAAUACUGACUACUGAGUACCACUAGUCAGAAAAUCCUCUGUAUUUUUCCCAUUUUGUGCAGAUUGGAGAAGAAAAGAAGAGGAUUGGUCCAAGGAAAUUUUUUGAAUCUAGUAGGUAUUGAAGCAUUUGUGAAAAGUUGCUACAUGCUACAUGGAAAAGUUGCUACAUUUGUGGAAAUUCCGAAAAACUAAACUGCUGAAUUAGCUGAAAUUGAGCAGAUGAUCCAGAGGGCAAAGCAACAAGAGUGCCACUAGUUGCCUUUGAGCUUUUAAGCACAAUGUAUAACAACCUUUUACAGGCUAAGACAUGCGCGGACAAAAUUCAAGGCUGAAAUUGUGUACUUUAUUUUUCAUUACCUGGUCAUGAACUCCUAAUUGAAAAUCAUAGCUGCUCAACCUAUGUCUCGUACAGCUUUUUCUCUACACACGUAUUGCAGCUGCAACAAAGAGUUUCACAUAUAGACUGUGACAUUAGUGCCCAUUUGGUUCUCAAAUAUUUUACUCCAAAACAACAAUCUUACCUUUCUUGGAAUCCACAAGCAACAUUGGGUGUUGCUGUAACAGGAAUAGAUUCCCUCUUCUCUUCCCCAGGGUUGACUGCCUGCUUGGGACUGCCAUCCCCAUCCCCUUCCUGCUGCUCCUCGGGCUCAUCUUCUGCACCAGUUGCAGAGGUAGCAGCAGCUGCAGGCCCACUCAUUGCACGGCUACCACUGUCCACCCUGUUGUCUGCAAUGGAGGUGUCAUCCUCCACAAUGGAGGUCCCGUUGCCAUCAGCUUGUCCAGGGAACAUGGGUGAGCCAGCAGGUGAACCGAGAUGGUGGCCCCUGCUUGCGAGGUCGAGGAGCUGCAGCCCCAUGAACCGGCGGCCCUCCAGCUCGAUGGCUCGCUGCAGCUCGGCCGCAUGCUGCUGCUCUUCGAGCUUCCUCCUCAGAAACGCCUCAUGCUUAACGAUGUUGCCGUACAUCAUCCUUGGCCCUAACAGAUGCAGAAUCAAACUGUCAAACACCUGCGAUCUGCAACCCUGAUGCAGCCAGAAAAAGGGUGCAUGCAGAGAAGGGUUACUACACACCAAUCUGCGGCUGAGUCAGGUCGAAGGGAUCCCUGGAAUUGAGCAAUCCAGUGGGCGACGUGCAGCCGGCAAAGUCGCCAUGGUGCGGGUGCUGCAGCUUCCUGCAAUCGAACAAAAUGAAAACAAAGCAUGAAAUUGAAACGUUCUCUUUAGGAACAGAAACUGUCAAAACAAGCAAUGUGCAACUCCAUGUAGGAGGCGCGGCGUGAGAAGGCAACGGACCUGAACCUGUCGGGGACCUUGCCCUUCUCCUUGUAGGGCUUGACGAGCACGCGCGCGUCACACACGAAAUGCGGGUUCCCCUUGCUCAAGAUGACCUUCACCGUCUCCGGGUAGACGAAGGUGACGAAGCCGAACAUGCGCUUCUGCUGGUACGGGAUGCGCACGUCCUGCACUGGUCCGUACAUGCUGCCCGGUGGCAACCAACCAAAGGUGCAUCACGAUCAAUCAAUCGAUUUCGUCCAUCAUUGGAUUGGACUACCAGGAGACAGUGAGAGCAAGUACCUGAAGUAGUUGGAGACGUCCUCCUCGCUGAAGGUGGAGUCGGCCGGGAAGGUAAGGUAGAUCUGCCGUGCGGCGGGGCUGGAGAUGAGGUCGCCGCGGUCCAUCCGAGGCGAGCGCACCGGGAACCUGUGCAUGUCCUCGCCGCCGCCAAACAGCACCCUGACACAGCAAGCAAAAUAAGCAAGGCGCGUCAAGAGGGAAACCAAAGGAAUGCAACAUUGGGUGGUAAAAAAUGGCACCUUUGGGGCUCGUUCUGCUGCUGGAGCAGGGAGUCGAGGCUGACGCCUUUGGGCGGCGACGGCGACGGCGAGAAGGGGAACGCGGACGCCAUGAGCUGCUGCGGCCGCGCGGCGGCGGCCAAGGCCUUGGCGCGCAUUACGACCAUCUCCCGCUCCGCGGCCGCCGCGUCGUCCUCAGGCAGGCCGUGGAGGAAACGGCAGGAGGAGCCGUUCCUGCAGAACCCGCGCGCGAAGUACAUGCAGGGCCUCCACGCGCCGGCCUCGUCGUCGCUGAGCAAGAAGCUGUACUCCUCCUCGGGGUAGAACGCGUCGGCGCCGCCGUCGUACGCCGCCUGGUCGGCUACUCCUCCCCAGGGCGGGCCGGGGCCGAGCACGGGGGACGGCGGGGACGCGGGCUUGGCGGCGAGCUCGGCGUGCGCGCUGGCGACGACGGCGCGGAGCAGGUCCUCGGGGCCGAAGGCGAGGCGGAUCAGGUCCUUGACGCUGUUGUCCUGGAUGAGGAGCAGGCCCAUGAUCUUGGAUGCGUUGUCGGGGUCCAGCGCGCGCACCCGGUCGAACACCACCUUGGUGGCCUCCCAGGCGUCCAUGGCCGGGGCGCGCCCGUUCUCAGGUGGCGCGGUGGUGGCUGGUGGUUCGCUUCUUGAAGGGGAGGAGGGGGGGAAGGGAAGGUGAAAAGCGGCGGAUGACAGGGAGGGGAGUGGGGGCACGGUUGUAAAAAAGCCUUGCACUGCGGGCACGGUGAAUUAAAUAGGGUGCCUGCUGUUGCUGGGUUGGAGACGCUGCAGACUCAAAAGCCGGGCCGUUCGGUUCAGUUUCCCUCCAUCAAUGUUUUGGGAAAUUUUUUGGUGGGGAUUUGAAUUCGGCGGUUGUUUUGCUUUGCUUGCCGUGGCAACGAGUACUUUGAUUUGGAACUUGGAUCGAGUGGUCUCCGGGCGUUCAAAUUUUCGUACAAGUAAUGUGCAUACCUAAUUUGAUUUUAAUCGCUUUUUUUUGCCAGAGUCAUAGACACGUACUUCCUCCGUCCCAUAACAAUACAAUUCUAGGUAUGUAUCUAAAUAAGUGCUUAUCCAAAGUAGGUAUACGUAGUAAUAUUGCUCGAUGCGUGAUAAAAUCACACCCCACAAGGGAUUUCAAAUUUGAACUCAUGGCAACUUGCGUCUAGCAAUAUAGAGCCGUUUCAUAAUGCAAAACCUAUAAAUUACCAUCCCAUUUAGCUACACCUACAGACAUUGGAGAUGAUUUCAUUAGAAACGGAUACAGAAUGAAUAUAAUAAUAUAACAAAUUAUCACCUCUAGGCGCAUGAGGGUACGUUUGUCUGAGCUGUAGUUUUUGGAGCUUUUUGAAAAAGCUGCCGCUAGCUUUAGGUUCUGAAAAGCUAAGGAUAACUUUUAGAAAUAUUUUAAGCUUUGUGGGCUUAUAGAACUACGAACAACUUAAGAAACUUAAUUUUUAGCUUUUUAUCUUUUUAUGUAAACUCAACGAGUAUUUGAACUUUUUGAAAGCUGCACAAGAUAUUCACUGUGCCUAGAAGCUCGAACAAACAGCCACGUCGUAGUGCUGGAAUGUCCCGAGCGGAGCAUUAGGAUUUAUAGAUGGCCAUAAAUCAAGUGUUGGACGUCUCACGAUCUAGAUACAUACCUUCUUACCGGUGUAGUAUGCUAUGGCCUUUUUGUUUUCUAUUGAUAAUCGUAUGCUGUGGCGUUGAAUUCCCUUUCUCCCCGGCAAGGCCAUCACAAUCUUGAAUUGCACUGUGUUUACAUUGCAAUCCUAUUCUCGUAUACAUGAUCGCCCCCCUCUGCGUCACUUGCUUGUGUGGUGUGUACAUUUUACAUCGUGCAUGGAGGGCGAAAAUAAAAAUAAAAUAAAAUUACAUGAUGCAUGCUUGAUCUCUCGCGUCCGUGAGCCCGUACGCGUGUGCGGUGUGCCUGCUCUGCUAGGGACGGCCCCCCGAUCACAUGGCAGCGCCCACUGCGUGGGUCCCGCCUGUGCAACUGUGCAAGCAUGCACACACCUCUGCAACUGGUUUGUACUGAGCCGGCUAGCAGCUCUAGCACCACUGCCAGGCCAUCGUCCGAAUCGAAACAUACUAUGGUCACUGACAUGCCGGCCUUCGCGGAGGUGUGGCCCAUAAGUAGCGAGAGCGGGAGGGCCCUCUGUCUGUGUUGCCCCGGUGUGGUGGGUCUUGCUGGCGCUCCGUCCAAAAUGGGAUAGGGCCACAUGUUUAGUUACUCUCAACUCCCAACUUUGACACUAUGUAAAAAGAAGAUUCCCCAUCACAUCAAACUUGCGGUACAUGCAUGGAGUACUAAAUGUAGAUGAAAUUAAAAACUAAUUGCACAGUUUUGUUGUACUUUGCGAGACGAAUCUUUUGAGCCUAAUUAGUCAAUAUUUGGAUAAUAAUUCACAAAUACAAACGAAAUGCUACAGUAUGCUACAGUGCUGUAGCAGUAAUUUGGCACCUCCCAAAUUCCCCAACUAAACAAGGCCGUAGUCUACUCGAUUACAGAUGGGCCCCGCGGUCCGGAUCCGUGUUGUGAACUGCUGACGACCACACGAUGACAUGCCAUCGGUUUCCGCCAAAGACUGGGGGUGGGGGCAAAAAAAAAAAAACUCGUGAGCUUCCGAAGAACGUGACCCUGUAUAUUAUUCUUCUCGUAAAUAAAAAAGGAAAAAUAUUUUCAUAAAAAUAAAAAAAAGAAUUAUUCGUAUUGCGCUAGUAUAUGACUCUAUUCUUUUGGGCCCUCUGCCUGCAGCUGGUGAUGUAUGCAGCCCUGAAUGAUAGCGUCCUGCUCGCUGCUAAGGGCCCGUUUGGAUUAGAUCAUGUUUGAUUGAGAUGGAUUUUAAGAAUUCAAAAUCUAAAAUUCAGGAAGCUUUAAACGGGUCAGAUUUUAGCCUGGAUUCUAGAAGUCAGAUCUCGGAUUCGGAGAAUCCCAUAAUCUGCUGAACGUUACUUCUGAUAGAUUUUGCAUAUGUAUUUUAUGAUUUUGCCCCUUAUCCUUCCGGAAAAUGAUCCAAUCCCCACUCUUCCCCUUCCUUCCCCUUCCUUCCCGCACAACCAACCUGCUUUUAAUCCGCUUCUAUCGCAAGAUAGGUACGAAUCACUGAGGUCCAAUCCCAAGACCACAGCUGCAGCUCGAUUUCCCUCACGCUGCCACCCCUCUCUCUCCAAACUCGAUCUCUCUCUGCUCCCAAUCGGCAAGCACACCCAACGCGCACGGACAGCUCCGGCGCGUGCGGAUUGGGAUCCCGCGGAGAUGUGGCCGCCAUCGAUGGAGCUUCAUGGCCGGUGGUAGUGGAGCUAGCGGGAGGAAGCUCAAAUUGACGACAAGGCCCCUCCAGCUGCGGCCACGCCAUUCUGGUUGGCCUCCUCCGAUGGUGGGAGCGCGGCGGCGGUCGGCGCUGGGCCCAAGAGAAGGAGAGGAGAGAGUUGUGGGAGGGCAAAAAGGUAAUUUGCUGUAUAUCAAAUCACUUUUAAUCCGCUUUAGCUACUGGGAGUGCUAUGCCAGUUUCAUGGGUAUUUAAUCUCAUGUCACAUCAGCAAAAACUGCUGAUUUGAUAGGCUAUUUACAAGGAGGGUGAAGAGGGGAGUUUCAUCUCAUGAAACCCACUUGACACACACAGUUACCAAGUCCCAUGAAACCUAAUGAAACUUGCACUGAGCAUGUUAUAGUUUCAUGGCAUGACACAUUUGGUCAUAGGAUAACGCAAAAAUUAAAUUAGGCUAUCUAUGAAACCGUGCAAUGAAACUAUGCACCGAGGAUGACAAUUUCAUUUCAUUAAAAAGUUGACAUAGCACUCUUAGUAACUUAUGCGAUGAACCUUAAUCGUUAGCUCGAGGUGGGCUAAAAAUUAGCUGCACUUUUAGCCAUCAGUUGUCAUUCUGACUUUCUUGAAGAGUCAAAUCAUUUUAUGUUUGAUCAAAAUUAUAGAGAGGAUUACAAAGGUCUAUGGCACCGAAUAGAUAUACUAUGAAAAUAUAUUUAAUGGAAAAUAUAUUAGUAUUUAUUUGGUAUCAUGAAGGUUAGUACUUCAUUGUAUAAAUUUGAUCAAACCUAGUUAAAUUGAGAUGCUUUGACUCUCCAAGAAAAUUGGAAUGACCUGUAAUUUGGAACGGAUCUUCAAAUAGGUCCUAAAAACGACGGCGAUAGUAAUGCCAUUCCCCGUGCACCUCACGCCGCCGUCUACUAGCGCCGUCGUGGUGGCAGCCGCCGUCGGGGCUGUGCUCGCCGCCGUCGCGCUCCGCCGCUACUAGGGAUGGCAAUCGGGCAGAUCUAGACCCGAGACCCAUAGAUUUCAGACCCGACGGGAGCGGUAGCAGGUCCGGAAUUUCCUCCGCGGGUCUCGAGUUCGAGGACCCGACACACGGGGCGGAUUUAUAGAUCCGCCGCGGAUGACCCACGGACCGAAGUAUGCAUUUCGCUCAAAAACUAUCCUGCCCAACAACAACCUAUAUAUAAUCUCCGUUCACACAGUCCGUCUCCCACUCUCCCGUCUCCCGGCCAGUGCGCCGCACGCCAGCACCCCGGCCCCAAAUCCCCAUCGCCCCCUCGCCUGCGCCGCCGCCGGCCGCCCGCGGCGCCGCCGGCCAUCCACUUCCCGCCCUCGGCCAUCCGCCUCGGUGACCAUGUCCGCUCUCAGCAGCUGCAGCAGCGCCGCCGGAACCGCCACCACGCUUGUGGCGUAUGGCAGGUCGCCGCAGGACCAGGAGCUCCUGGCCUUCGCGGCCGGUUCCGUCGCCCUGGGGGAGGGCGAGUCGGCCGGGGAGUUCGCCGUCGCGCUGUCCUAUGAGGGCGCGGGGUUCGACGCGGGCGCGUACAUGGGGGCGCUCCGGGCGCGGCUGUUCGGGAGGUGGAUGCUCUGGUCACCGAGGAUUGGCUCCACGCAGGACCUCAUCGCACAGUGAGUGCAAAUUUUUGAUUCGCUGACUGGGGAUUGGGCUUUCCCCUGUUCUUAUUGUACUUUGCCUCGGCGUCUGCUCUUGUUUGCAGGAACUUCGCAAAGCUGCCGGUGGGCGUUGUCUGCGUUGCUGACGUGCAGUUCAAAGGGAGAGGUGUGUGUGAUAGUGAAAUUACUGGUUGUUAUUCCCGUUGUUGUUCUAUUCGUGAUGAAUCUGUAGCUUUGGUUAGCAAGCUCUUGAGUUUUAGGCUGAUUGACGCUUUUUUAUUCUGCAUCUGAUAUGAUUGGUUAGAUUGACGAGUCGACACUAACUGUUAUCUGCUGCGUAUUCUCUAUGAUUACUUGUUAGGGGAAAAAACAGUCUGAGUGAACAAAUAUAGAACCUGUUUGUAGCUUGACACGUCUUUUAUCAAAAGAUUGAAUCUGAUUGUAGAUUGAUUCCUCUUGCAAUUAUCAAAAUUUGUUAGGCUAUAUGUAUCCAAGACUAAAGCUGCGCAUCAUAGCAUUUCGAUGUUUUCUAUCUUUCUAGUUACAUAAUUAUAUUAUACACCUUGCAGCAUAGUGAGAUAAAUAAUUUAAUCUUCCUUCACAAAUUGUGCAGGACGUUCGAAAAAUGUGUGGGAAUCACCACCAGGUUGUCUCAUGUUCUCGUUCACAUCACGGAUGCAGGAUGCACGGAAGUUGCCCCUUAUGCAAUAUGUUGUCUGUCUUUCUAUGACCGAAGCCAUCAAGGAACUAUGCCGUGCUAAGGUUAAUUUAUAAUUCAGUGCAGUCAUGUUUGCUGCUCAUUGAUUUGCAUCAUUUUAUUUAGGCUAACUACUUCUAUUGGCACCUGACGCUGUGGUUGUGAUAAAACUCAGGGACUGCCAGAACUUGAUGUAAGGAUAAAGUGGCCUAAUGAUCUCUAUCUGAAAGGAUUAAAAGUUGGCGGCAUUCUAUGUACCUCGUCUUAUGAACCAAAAGUCUACAAUAUCUGUACUGGUAAACAUGCAUUUCCAAUGUUGCUGGUUCUAAUAAUUUAAGAUAUAUUUUUACAAGCAUGGAAUUCCUUUUAUUUUAAUCAGGUAUUGGUUUAAAUGUUGACAAUGAGAAGCCUACCACAUGCUUGAAUGCUGCACUUCAAGAAGCAAAUGUUAUAUCACCCAGAUUGAAACGAGAAGACAUACUGGCAUACUUCUUCAAUAAAUUCGAAAAUCUUUUUGAGAUCUUCUCGAAUCAAGGUAAUUGUCGUCGAUGUAUAUGCAUAGAUGGUUCUUUUUCUAAUCACAACGGAUUUGAUGAUAAACUGAUUUUGCCAUAGAGAUUGAUUAUUUUCCUAUGACUCAUUUAAGUGCUGGCAAAACAUUUUUCAAACUUAACUGCAAUUUCAUUUUUUGUCUUGGUAAAGUUGUGUGCUUAACACUCAAAUUCCACUGCAGGAUUUCAGGCUCUUGAGGAGCAAUACUAUAACUCAUGGCUCCAUAGGUAUGGGCUGUAAUCUCAAUACCUGUUCAUUGGACCUUAUUACAGAAUAGUAGGGGCAAGAACACCAAAAAACUUAAAAACCUAUAAGAUUUUGCCCUGAACUAGGUGUAAUAUCACUUGAAUUUUAAGCGUGCUUUUAAGUGCUGAUUGUAAACAUCUAAUACAGUGCUUGCAAGUUAAUAUUAUGUAUCUUUGGUAUUUGCCAUUUCAUCUGAAUGAGAUUUGAACUUUUUAUUGUUAUGUAGUGGCCAGAGAGUUGUCGUCCAAGAUGCACAUGAAGGCCAGUCUGUAGACAGUGUCGUCACUAUCCAGGUUAGCACAAACAGAAGCAUGAUGACCUAAUAUCAAUUUCCCCUUCUCUAACAGUACUAAUACUUUUCAGGGUUUAACACCAACUGGGUACUUGUAUGCUAUUGGUGAGGAUGGCAAAAGCUAUGAGUUGCACCCAGAUGGCAACAGGUACUGUCCAUCAGUCCCUUUUUGCUCAUUACAUAUCAUGAUAUCAAUAUGAUAUUUGUCAUGUAUAUCACUAUUCAGUGUCUCUACCGUGUUCUGUAUGCAUCUCAUCCCAUAUAUGUCCCAACAUGUAAUAUCACAUAGUCUAUCAGAUUAUCACACACAUUCUUUUUUUGUCAAUCAUUUGAUACAGUACUUUGCGUUUGCAGUUUUGAUUUCUUUACUGGAUUGGUGAGGAGAAAGAUCGAAGCUUAGGACACCAAUACAAUACAUAGAUAGGUUCAACAAAUUUGUACAAAUGAUAGAUGUUUAAGUAUGGAAUGAGAACAUGUAAGCAUCAGCGCUGCCACCUGCAUCCCUUUGUGUGCUUCAAACUUUUAGUAUAUAAGGUAUAACUAUAUAUUGAUUAUUUUCUAUUUUAAAACAUUGUGACAAACUUUUAGUUUCAUAGUUAUACAAACCAAAUGCUUAAUUAAAUUUAAAAUAUCAGCUGCUAAUAUAUACUUACGGAUAUCAAAUUUACUUUCAUCUCAACCAUAUCUAAAUAAGCACUAAUUAUCUGACAUAGAUUUGCAAAAAUGGUGCAGAGGCAUAAGCUAAUAUAUAUACACGCAUACUCGUGCUCUAUUAUAUAAUAAGACAAUUUAGUACAAUAUUUGGUUAGUUGUUUUUAGGAAAAAGUCCAUUUUACUCCCCUCAUCUAUAUACUUUGUCUGCUUAACCCCUCGAACGAAAUUUAGGAUCACUUUACUCCUCGAACUAUUUCAUUUGGUCUAAUUUACCUCCUAAUUAGAUUUCUCUUUUUUGUUUCUUCAUGUAUGAAUUGAAUUUUGAGUUCAAAUUUUGUGAGGAGAUGGAAAACAUGAUGCCUUAUGUUAAAAAAUUAUAAUAAGAAUUUUCACAAUUAUUUUCAUAGGUUAAGAAUAUUUAAUACGAAAUUGAUCUUAGAUGUACAAAAUUGUAUAAAAGUAAUCAUAAAAAAUUGCUAAUGUAUUUUUCUAAUGUAGAGCAUCAUGUUAUAAGUCAAUUGGCAAAAAUCUGAAAUUAAAACUAAACUUGUACGCGAAGAAAUAAAAAAAGAGAAAUCUAAUUAGGGGUAUAUUGGAUCAAAUGAAAUAGUUCGAGGGAGUAAAGUGAGGCUAAAUUUUGCUUAGAGGGUUAAGUGGAUAAAGUAAAUGGAUGAUGGAAGUAAAAUGGACUUUUUGCUAUUUUUAUUCGGCCCAUUCCUCUAAUAUUUUCACGCAAUUGUUAUACUAUCCUAAAUGAAUUAAUAUCUCUGUUUACACUUUGCUUUUGAAAAAAAUCUAUUAUCACAUUAACUUCAAUUUUUAGUAUUGCACAUAGCAUAAUGUUCGCAUGCGGGCUAUGAGUGCCAACGAACCAGAAUACUCGAUCAAUAGUCUUAGGCUCAUAGCCCAUGUCACCAGCGAAGGACGGAGCAGAUAACCAGUUACGAGUACUGAAUAUCAGCAAGAUCUGAGCACUUUUUAUUAGCUACAUUUGUUUACUGGUCUACGUAUAUUGUUUACUCAUAAGCCAAUCAGCGGGGCCUUCCUAGCGGCGGGGUCUUGGCGGCCGUGCGGUGCACCGUGUGGUGCGGGCCGUCAAACUCGACACCGAAUGGCUCAAUCAUGCCAUCUAGAAGCUCAUCAAUCCAGUCCAUGAGGGCCUGGUGUUCCUGGACCAUAGCCUGGAGCUACCACACCCUGGUGGGCAGUUUUGGAGACAAGAAGACAGUGAGCCAUUCAGCACACGAAUCAAACAUACUCCAACUGAACUGGACAAUGGCAUCGCAACGCAAUUAAGUAUACUAGUCCAUCAACACGGACUAAUGUUUUUAAAAACUAUUGUAUUUAAAAAUUACUUAGAAACUAAACUCCUAACUGAUAAUUAAAAUUAUUUACCUACUACUCUCUUAUUUUUUUCAAUACUUUAACAUAAUACUCAUAUAGAUGUGUACUUAUCUUUGUCCAGUUAUGAUUGAUUUUUAAUUAGUAAUUACUCCAUACAUUUUUUCAUCCACAUUCACACUUUUUCAUUUUGUAUCGUACCUCCACACAUUGUGUUUAGCAUAAAAAUCAAUAUUUUACGUCACUUCCUCACAUACAUGUAUAAAUGGUUUACAUGAUGAUGCCCAUCAUGCGUAUAUACCUUAAUUUAUUCUUUCUAUAUCAUUAGUGAUAUAAAUAGGUAAUUAAAUUAGAAUCAUAUAUUAGUUUAGUUUCGAACAUUUCUGUAUGAUGCAUAUGAAGAAAAAUAGAUUAAGAUUUAGGUGUUUACUUUAGGUUACUUUUUAAUAAUGAUAUACAUGGGUAGCUUAGAUACAAAUUUAGAUAUAAUAGACCAAUGGGUAUGAUUAUUAGAGUUUAGAGGAUUGAUGUUUGAUGUUUCUAAUUUCUAUGAGAAUUUCUAGGAUUUGAAUUUUUUUCCUAGCAUGUCUCGUGAGAAGAGCCUCCAGUGGGAAAAAAAUAAGGCCACACUACUACAAAACUGUUACCUUGUGGUACCUCUCAUUUGUUAAAUAUUCGAACAUGAUACUUAUAUAGAUAUAUACUUAUUAUUCUCAUCCGAUUGUGAUAGAUUUUAGUUAGUAAUUUUUCAUCCACAUUUAUAAUCUUGAACUUUUCACUUUGCAACACACGUAUGCGCUUGAAUUUGUUUCAUGGACCCUAAGUUUGAGCUAUAAUUUAAGCAUAGAAAUCCAUAUUCUCAGCACUUCCUCUAUAUCUUUAUAAAUGGUGACACACAUCAUGCUAUAAACCUUAAUUAUCAUAUCAUAUAUUAUUAUAGCAUAUAUCAAUAGGGUAAGAAAUAGAUGAUUUAGAAUUAUAUAUUUUAUAUAUUUUUAAUUAAGGUGAUUUGGAUUAGAAUUUAAGGUUAUGUUAUUUUUAAUAAAGAGCGUAUGGGAUGCAAAUUUAAGGGUUGCUUUAAGUUACUUUUUAAGUAUUAGUUAUGGGCAACUUAGUUGCAAAUUUAGGGCGUUAUUUUAAAUUAUUUUUACAAUGGCAUAAGUGGGUAAUUUUGAUGAAGAUUAGGAGUUAUUAGUUUAUUUAUAUAAUGUCAGAGGUGGGUAAUUUAGAUAUAGAUGUAGAAGAUUACUUUAAGCUAUUUUUCAAAUAGCAUAGGUGGGUAAUUUUUUAGAAAACACAAUAGAUCCGAUGGCUAUGAUGAUUUUAGUCUACCGAUUGAUGGUUAGAUAUUUUUACUUUUUUUAUAGAAUCUCUAGGAUUUCUCUAUUUUUCCUCGAGUGUCCAUCUAGGGUUCUAGGUGGCUUCACCUGGAGAGUCUUCAGGAGGAUUGUUUCCCAUCUAAGCAACCUCCACAAAGAUGGGAAACUUUCCAAAUUGACAACUUUCCACGUAAAGGCAAACGAUUUGUCUUUGAAAUUGUUUCGGACGAGAAAUCCCCAAAAGAUCUGGAUUUUUUCUGAAUUGUUUGGGAAAAGAAACCCAAAAAACCUGGGCCUUUUCAGGCUGAUGAACAGGAGAUCGAGGUUCUUAAAACAAGAAAGAAAAGGCGGCAAUUGGCUUUGGGGAAAGCAACGAAAACGAACUGAGCCAAAACGGAUCGCUCUCGUUGGCACACAACGUGCUAUCUUCCGAAGUUAAGCAAGACUUGUUCGAAAAUCCAAGCGCACCCAAAAUUGAACCCGACGGAUGAUUUUUUGUUUUAGGGAAUGUUUAGUUCUCUCAAAAUUCCCAACUUUGAUACUAUGGAAAAAGAAGAUUCCCCAUCACAUCAAACUUGCGGUAUAUGUAUGGAGUACUAAAUGUAGACGAAAUUAAAAACUAAUUGCACAGUUUUGUUGUACUUUGCGAGACGAAUCUUUUGAGCCUAAUUAGUCAAUAUUUGGAUAAUAAUUCAUAAAUACAAACGAAACGCUAUAGUGUGAUACAGUGCUAUAACAGUAAUUUUACACCUCCAAAUUUUAGGUAACUAAACGAGACCGUGGGCGCAGAACAACCUCAAAUCUUCCAAAAAAAAAAAAUCUGCGCACGACUGUAUGUUGCAUACGCGACAGUUAAUAUUCUGUCGCGUGGGGUGGGAGGGUGGAGACCACGCGGGGAGUCACGGCCCAAUAAAUUUCUGAUAGCCCACCAGCGCUAGCAGGGUUUGCUCCAGGGUAAUGAUUGUUGUCCUACGCGUGCUUCGGUGCUUUUUCACUCGCGCCCAUCGCGAUUCGUGCGUGACCCGAGAGGAAUUCAGCACACAUCAGUUUUUUCCGUUUCCUUUUUUUCCCUUCCGUGUAUUUUUUUACCUUCUGUUCGUUUCGUUCUUUUUUUAUCGUCUUUUUUUUUCCUUCCGUUAUUUCUUAUUUCCCACCGUUUCUCCUUUUUCCGGAUUUGUUGUUUAUUUUUUCUUCCGUCCGUUUUCUUCUUUUUUCUCCUUCUGUUACUUUUCAACGUGAUAUUUCCUUACGUUUCUUUUUUCUUUUCCAUUUUUUCUUUAUUGUUUGAUAGUGACUCUAUCUUUUUUUUUCUUGCCAGGGUAGGUCAUUCUAUAUUCUAAUUAGUUCUAUUAAUCUUUUUUAUUUUAUUAUGUAGAGACUUAUUGAUAAAAAAAUCAUAUGUUUUGUCACUGUAACUCUGGAAGGUUUUUCAUUUUUAUGUUCUCUUCUUUCUUUAAUCUCUUAGUUUAUUUGGUUUUCCUCUAAUUUUCUAUCUAAUGUAUUUUUCUUUUAUUUCUUAUUCUAUUCUUUUAUUUUUCUUUUAUUUUUGUUCGAGAACUUUGUAUAAUUUGUUCCGUGCAUUUAUAUAAUUUGUUCGAUGCAUACAAUUGUUUGUUCAAUUUGUUCGUCACAUGUACAUAUUUUGUUUGUCUUCAAGAGAUAAUUUGUUCGCUUUUCAAUAGUAUUGUUAGUCAUCUGUGCAUCUUUGUUCUUCUCCAAGAAUAAUUUGUUCGUUUUUGCAGAAUAAGUUAUUUGGCGAUGUUGACUUAUUUGUUCGCAAUGUUCAACCUUUUGUUUGCAGUAUAUUAUUAUUUCUUCAUCAUGUUUAAUAUUUUGUUCCUGGUGUCGAUGCAUGUGUUCGCAGUGGUCAAAAUUAAUUAUCCUGUAUUUGAAAAAAGUGAUUUUUAAAAUAUUAUCAAAAUAUAGUUGAGUGUGGUCUUAUUUUGAAGAUCUUAUUAUAACAAACACAAUGGUGAAAUCGAAAUUUAAUUUGGAUGCUCCGUAUAUGAUUUAUAACUUUUUCUACUUUCGAAUUUGCAUGCAUACGUGUGAUGUCAUCAAUUUUUAUCCUUUAUGCAUGCAUGCAGUCUCUCCUUCGCUCUCAUCUUAAAUGGUGAACGUUUCAACGUAUCACUGUAUGUACAAAUAGCCUAAAUAACUAAGUUGACAUGUGCAACCCACAUAUACUCCUUCAGGUGGUGAUGAUUGCAGAUCUAUCGCCUUCAAUCUGGGCUUUUAACCGCACCCAAAAAAUUUGGGCUUUUAACUGCUCCACCGCAAUCGCGCAGCCCACAACGAGAGCAAGAGGUCCCAGAAUGAAAACAGAUAAAAAAGAAAGAACGAACACCACUCGAUGUCUGCCUGGUUUUAUUUAUCGCGACUUGCUGAGUACUACGUGCGUGCACGUGAGAGAGAUGGGGUGGAGAGGGUUGGCGACGUGAAGUACUCACCCCUGGGAGGCUCGGAACAUGGUGUUCUCCACCCGGGCCCGGGGCUGCUGGGUCCACUAUGGUCGGGGAUGCAGACCAGAUGCGCAGGGUGGACCGGCCAAAACCCUUGCCGCCGCCGCUGCCAAAGCAGGUGCAAUGAAAAAGCGACUAGUGCCAGGAGAGAGGAGGAGGGGAGGGAACAAAAUGGGGGUGUCCGUGAACACUCGCUCGUUGGAGUGGGAAGGUAGCACCAUCCAUAUGAAUUGGGACUUCGUCAUGAUUCGUGCGGGGCACCAAGCCACUUGCUGAUACUGCCUAGUUUAAUAAUACAAUACUACAGGUGUACGUAUUUCACCACGGUCCUUCUUCUUCAGUUCUUUGAGUUGAGUUGAGUAGUCAAUAUGAGCGUUAAUGGAGAGAUGUGCCUAGAGGUGGGACUUGGGCCGUCUCGUGCCUAGCCCUCCCGUGCUUCGUGCCGUCUCGUGCCUAGACUUCUAGGCACUUUGUGCAAUUGAUUUUUAUUGAUUUUCAAUUUACCCGCCCCCGCCAGAUGUUGCAAGUGCGUUUGAAUUCAUAUAAAGAUGGAAGUUGAAGGCUCAGGCACCAGUAAUUAACUAGAUGAUCCAUGCAUAUGGCUGCUAAUUGAGCUUAUUUGUGUGGCUGAAAUUUCUCGUGCUUAAUCAACACUAUAUAUUUGGAAAAAUAUGCCACUAACCUGUCAUGUAAACCUUUCCGCAGGAUGAACCAUUGAUCUUGACUGGCCCAAAACGAGGACUUGUAUUGCUGGAUAAUAAUUAUGUUGAGACUGAUCUGAAGAUCAAGGAUCGUCAAGGGCGGGACACAGAAUUCAGUAAAGGAGUCAUAACAAUAUGGAGAAAUGUGAGGUUGAAAGAAAGAAUCUUGCUACCAGGUUCAGUAUUGUGGAUUUAUUGUAUGCUAUUGUCAUAGGUGCGGUGGAGGCAACUAUUGGCAUUAGAGUUUUGCAGGGAAAAUUUGAUGGAACAAUCUCUGCCCACACCACCAGCAUUAUGCUUUAUGAUAGCAAAGUGGCUGGUACCAGGACUGCUGAUGUAGGAGUUAUCCAGCUGACUCGACGUGUUGUAUCUAUCUAUGUGAAGGAUAUGCUGAUAAUCGAAGCAAAGACUGGUGAUGGUAAAUCUGUACGGAGAGUUGAUUUUGCUCCAAGGGGAAACAAUGGGAGAUGAAGAUACGAUGGUGCCACUAAGAUGCGUGUGAUGGUUGCUUGGUCGAUCAUGGACCCCUGACUGAGACUUUGGAACGGUUUGUUAAGCAUCAUUGGCAGAUGUGUACGCUUUGGUGUAGCCACAUCUGAUCCUGUGAUGCGGUUACAAGUUAUAAGUCUAGACAAGUAAUAAUGUGUGUAAAUUACCGUGUUGAUCUUGUUAGGGCAGUGCCAAUGGGAUAUUGAUGAUAGUUUCUAUCCCUCUUAAUUAUCAUGCCAACUAAGCAAUUUGCUGAUGUGGCAGUGGAUUUAUUAUGGAGAGAGAGAAACCAUUUCCUAGAGAGGAAACCAAGUCCUCACGAGCACCGAUGGACCAAGAAACUAGCGAAUCUGCAUUGGGGAGACCCAAGUAGUUUCUUCUUGCUUACCGCCGGAUCCUUUGUGCUUGCACUGCUGCUACCCGUCACUCGAGCUCCUUUACAUGAUGCACAGAGGAUCCGGUACUAGAAGGGAGAAUGGUUGGUUGGAUUUUUGUUUAAACUCUAGAUAAAAAAGUUGCAUUGUGAAGGAUGAUUUCUUGAUACAAUAUCCUAGACUAUGGAAACUAAAUUGGUUUCUCCCAUUGGGAGUGCCCUUAUGUUGAACUAUUGUCUAACAUGCUAGGCUUUUUAUUGCAAUACCGUGUUAAACUUAUCCUGUGCAUUGUUUGUUGUGUUGUAUGCUCUUAACUGUUCCGGUUUGUUUGAUGACUGCUGUGGGCUGUUUGUAUCAUUUGUCACUGUUUUCUUCGAGUUAUCUCCAAUCUGUCGACACGGUUUGGUUUUCCUUUCUGUGUUUUCGAAGAAGAAAUUUCAGUAUUUACCCAAACAACAUUCACCAUUUAUUCCAUAUUUAUUGGAAGGGUAUUCUUGUGCACUAGAAAAUACAUUUGGAAGGAGAAAUUUAUGCCAUGGGAAGUGUAUUCUUCGUAUGUUCAGGGUAUACUAGUUCAGGAUAUAAUUUUUGCCAUUUGGACGGGCUGUGUUUACUAUGGUGGUAGCCUUCCACCGCUUGUAGUGUUCUGGUGGCGUUCUUGCUGCAUGGAUGUUUCCUCGGUUGCUGGUCUGCUUCAGUGUUGCUUAUCCUUCUUCACUAUCCAUCUCUACUUAAAUGGCAAGCCAUUGCAAUCUUCGUCCAGCUGGGUUGAUCCUAAGGAUUCCUGGGCCUGCUGUUUGGCUUCCAGCAGGGACUUCUCAUGCUCCUCAACACACCUGGACAGCUCUGAGAAGUUGCCCUUGCCGAACCCGCUGCAGCCGCUCUUCUGGUACUCUUGCGGCAUCCUUCUGCAGGCACCCGACCCUUUGGAUUACCUCCACCCGAUCCUUGGAUUACCUCCAAGAAGAACAUUAACCUGAAUCAAACAUAUAGCCAACCCAAUUACAUUUGGAAUUCAAUCGCAUGGAGCAAACACCGAUCGAUCCUGCAAGCAUGCAUCGGGCAACAAGAGGAGCAGGGGGGAAGGUGACGUUUUUACCUGUCCCCUGCUGGCUUGGUGAAGAUCUGGAGGAGCACCCCCAGCUCCUGGCAGUCCCUGAUCUGCGCCUCCGAGAGCACGUCGCCGGCGCGGCGCCGGACACCGUCAUAGUAGUUGGGUGGCGGCGGCGCCAAGAACACGAACCCACCCAUGGGCCAUGGCGGAGCGCGCCCGCAUCUCCCUCAGCGCAGCAUGUCGUAGCUGGCCAUGGCGAUGUGCUGCACGUCCGGGCCGCCGUGCGGCCGUGGUGGUCCAGGAACGUCUGUACCUGGCUUCGGCGCCUCAAGAAUGCAUGUGAGACCCUGGUGGACCAUAGAGUCUAGACCCUGGUGGACCAUAGAGUCUUCGAGUGAUCUCCAAUCUGUCGACACGGAUUGUUUUUUCUUUCUGUGUUCUUGAGGAAGAAGUUUCAGAAUUUACCCAAACAAAAUUCACCAUUCAUUCCAUUUAUAUGGGAAGGGUGUUCUUGUCUGCACUAGAAAAUACAUUUGGAAGGAGAAAUUUUGCCAUGGGUAGUGUAUUCUCCGCAAUAAUUUCAGGACAUGUUGGUCAGCUUUGGAAGGGCUAUGUUUAAGGUACUGGUAGCCCUUCCACCACUUGCAGUGUUCUGGUGGGCGUGCCUGCUGUAUGGUUCCCUGUUUGCUGAUAUGCUUCGCUGUCCAUCUCUGCUUGAGUUGCAUGCCAUUGGCUCGAUGAAGAGCAGCAACCUUUGAAUUAUGCAGGUCGUCGUGAGUAGCGUGCAAGCUUAUUCAUGCAGAAAUUAAGGGCAUGUUUGGAAUUGCUCCACUUCAAAAAAAAAAUAACUCCGCUCCACCAACUCCACCUUUUUUAGCUCCACUUCACCAACUCCAAGAAAAUAGGGAGCUAUGUACGUGUUUGGCUAUUGGAUGCAAAUCCAGCUCUAGGAAUCGUAGGAACUAGUGGGAAUAGUCACUUAAGGGCAGAGUGUUUUUUCCCCGGGUUCCAGUCAAUUAGGAUUCAGGGCACCGAGAUGGUUGAUGGGAUUGGAUGACUCGCUCCAGAUGCUUGCACCAAAUGAAAAUUACAAAAUCAACCGGACAUCAUUGUUCCAAUAAAAAUUUAAUAUACCUAAUAUGUGGCACCAAAUGAAAUUACAAAAUCAACCACACCAACAUUAACUAGUUCCAAGCAAGAGAAAGGGCGGUGGCCAACUCAUCAUGAAAUACAUCCAUAGCUGGAGUAUUGGCAUUCGAAGUAGACCGGUCGGACGCAAGGGAGAAAUUGCAUAUUUGUUAUACCUUUUCGGGAUAGUAGAUAUGUAAUUAGGAUUACGAUCAAAGUCAAUGUCUUCACAUCCAUCAUGUUCACGGAUAUAAUUGUGAAGGACAUAGUAGCCACAACAAUCAUGUUUUGCUUGUACAUGGGGUACGGUGGUAUUUUGUAGAGAAUUUUCCACUUCAUUUUUAAUAGUCCAAACGAUCGCUCAAUAGCAUUGCGAAUAGAUGAGUGAACACGAUUGAACUUUUCCGCGUGAGUCUUUGGUUCCAUACCACUAUGCCAUAGCCGACACUUGCGUCUUCACCACCAAGAACGACCUCUUCAAGGUCAGGGUCAGCCCCGGCUAGGGUGUGGCUACCCCUGCCCAGGCCACGAUCACCUUUGGACGUGCCACGGCCGCCCGCGCCCAGGACAUGGCCGCACCCGACCAGGCCUCCGGCCAGGGCUUCUUCGAGGUCGGCUCAGCGUCGGCCUGGGCACGGCCGCCCCCGACCAGGCCUCCGGCCAGGGCUUGCCUCUUCGAGGUCAGGCUCAACGCCGACUAGGGGCUAGUUGUUGCCUGCCUGGGCACGGCCGCCACCGGCCAAGCCUUGGCCACCCGCCCCUAGGCCACGGCCGCCCGCCCCCAGGACACAGCCACCCCCAGCCAGGCCUUCGGCCUCUUCGAGGUCAGGCUUAGUGCCGGCCAUGGGCUCUCUGCUGCCGGCCUGGGCACGACCGCCACAAGCCAGGCCGCCGGCUAGGGUGUGCUCCAGGCCCAAAUCAGUACUGGCCAGGGGGUGGAUGCCGUCGGUCAGGCCGCGCCUGCCCAUGGGCGCCGGCGGGUGGAAUGGAGUUCGGCCGGAGGAAGGGGAGAUGGUGGCGGUGGCGGCGGAGGCAGAGGCGUCACGAGGGAGGGGGCGGCGGCAGAACAGGAGGCAUCGCGAAGGAGGAGGCGGUGGCGGAAUAGGAAGCGUCGCGAGGGAGGGCUCUUUUUUUUCUCGAAGCGGUAUGUGUAAACAGUGAUAUUGGUGGGUAAUUUCCACCCAACUUCAAAAUAAGGUAUGAAACUAGUUUUUUGGGAGCACCCUUUGCGGAGCUCCAGAAAAACCUUAGAGUUUCCCCCCAGAUCCACCUUUUUCUGAAGUUGGUAUAGUUGGAGCUGGAGGUGUUUGGCAAGAUGAUUUUAGAGCCGAGCUACUAAACCUGGAGCUGAGCAUUCCCAAACAUGCCCUAAACCCUUUUAUUGCUACCCUUUGGUCUUAUAUUCUUCGGAGAGCGAGUGGCUGAGCGAGGUUUCAUCUAGAGGCUGCCUGCACUGCACUGCAUGCACACGUGCAUGGGAUUCACAUUCACAAGAUGGCACGCAUCAGCCCCGUUUGGAUUGAGAUGGAUUUUAAGAAUCCAAAAUCUGGAACUCAGGAAGCCUCUAAACCGGGCAGAUUUUCGCCUAGAUUCCAUCAGAGAAUCCUAGAAUCCGUUGAAACGUUUCUUCUGAUAGCUUCUGCGUAUGUAUUUUACGAUUUUACCCCUUAUCCUUCCAGAAAAUGACCCAAUCCCUACUCUUCCCCUUCCUUCUCGCACAGCCGAUCUGCUCUCGUUUCCCGUCCCCUUCCACAUUGCUCGCAAGAUUCGGCCGCCACAGCCUCCCUCCCAUCUUUCCCCAUCGAGCCCACGACCUUUGCGCCACCUCUUGCCAUCAGGCCCCGUCCCCGUACCACACCUCACCCGUUUCCACGCCCAUACUCGCCGCCUGCCUACAGUCACUGCCCGCCAGAUCUGAGUGACGGUUGGUCGCCGACGUCGGUUCCGGCCAAGAGCAGCAGGCGCAGCUGCCAUCUGUAGAUGGAGUCGCAAGGGGACCUCGACGACAACGAGUUCUUUUCAGACUCCAAAGCUGCUCCGACGAAUUUUGGGGUCGACUUCUUCAGCCAGCCCCCGAGCUUUCCCCUUGCGGCUUCCUCCUCUAGCGGUCGUGGCGUAGGACGUCAUCAUGUAGCAAGUGGAUUGGAGGGUCUGGACCUCAAUUCGGAGGUCGUGGACUUCACCACCAACGUGUCGUACUUGGACCUUCUACGCUCAUCGCGCGGCUGGAUUGGUUGGGGACGGCGACCUCCUGGGUGGCGUUGGGCAUGGCGCUGGCCAUGGCGCGAGCCGUGUGUUGGCGUGGCGCCGGCCGUGGCGCCAGCCAUGCCGCUAGUGUGGACGUGGUGCUGGUCGUGCUGUAGCAGUGCCAAUCGGAGAAGCAUCUGACCAGGAUGUCGGCAUCCCUUGUUGGCCAGCCGGAGGUGCACGAGGACAUGCCCGUGCUGCACCGACUCGUCGUCCUAGCACCAUUGCAUCGUGUCAAUUCCUUCCACCACGUCUUGCUGGAGGACGAAGCAAUGGCACAACUCCUAGUGUGGCUGAUGAUGCCUUCGAUGGUGGUCUCCAGAAGCCUAGCACAUCUACAUGGAGCCUGAACCCCUACAAUGAAGAGGCUGACGAUCUUCAGGAUAGAUGCAUCGGUAUAACUAUUUGACUCCACAUGAUUAUUCACUUUUUACUCCUACUCGUUUAAUUUGACAUUGCUAUGAUUGUUUAAUUUGACCAAACUAUGUUAACCAAUUCCGUACUCUGUGUCUGUAUGUCUAUGUGUUGUGUGUGUGCAGCUACUAACGUUACAUGAAUGUCUGAAUAUUUUGUAGUAACCUGACAUGCUAUUUGAUAUACUGUAUUUUUUUUUGCUUUCACGUGGCUAUGAUUGUUUAAUUUGAGCAAGUUAUACUAACCAAACUAUGAUUGUUUAAUUUGAGCAAGUUAUACUAACCAAACUAUGAUUGUUUAAUUUGAGCAAGUUAUACUAACCAAACUAUGAUUGUAGACUUAAGAGAAGAGAAAGUAGGCGGAAGCCUAGGAGGGCCAACCGAGUGAAGCUCUUUCUUUUUUUUGGCCGUGCCGUGAAGUAACCAAACGAGUACUCCAAUCAGAGUAAUGGCCAUAUGCUUAACUUUCUCUGCUUUCAGAUGCAGUAAUGGUCAUGCAAGCUAUAUUAAUCUUACAUGCUAUUUGAUAUACAUUAUGGCUAUGAGAAUAUGUUACUACUACUAGCCAUUUAAUCUCUUUUAAUUGCGUACAUUACCUGUCCACUUGCAGUUGCUGUUAGAUAUAGUACAAUUCUAUAGUGUUCAUUUUUUUUCACUUGUCCCAUCAUAUUUCUGCUUGUACACUAGAGCGACGAUUUAUUUGACAAGAUGAUUGGGCCAAUAGCGCCAACAAUGCUGCAUUCUAUGAGCAUAUGUAUUAAGACGGCACCUUAAAUCAGUCCUCUCGAAUGCGUAGUGUAUGCCUGUGUGCAGUGUGCAUGUGCAGCUACUAACCUUAGAUGCAUCUCUGAAUAUUUUUUCAUUGACACAUGAGAUAUGUUACUACAUAUUCCUUUCUAUGUGCUGAAUGAUGUUUGAUAUACUGUAUUUUUAUCCACUUGUCUCAGUUCUAUUUUUUCACUUGUGUCAUCAUAAUUCUAUUUGUACAAUAGACCGACGACCUAUUUGACAAGGCUGGCCAACAGCACCAAUAAUGAUGCAUUUUGUGAGCUUUGUGUCGAGAAAAUUACAGCCGGUACAGCAACAAAGGACACUUGACUAAUAGGGCCUACAACAACAUAGCUGCGAAAUUUGAAGAAAGGACAGGAUUGCGUCACUCCAAGCAGUAGUUCAAGAACCGAUAAGACGCCCUUCGACGCAUGUAUGCCUUCUAGUUGUAUGCAAACAAUUAGAGUGGACUUGGAUGGGGUAGGGCACAGUCGUGGCAGAUGACGCUUGGUGGAAAAAGCACACAAAGGUAUUUGAUGCCUAUCCCCUGCUACUUCCAUAUUGAACAUACUUGUGAGACAUGAGCUUUGUGCAUUAAUGUCUUUUCUGUAUUAAUUUCAGAAUCAUGGCGAAUGGAGGAAGCUGUGAUAUGGGCCUCCGGAUAAUCUAGAUGAGCUUCAAGUGAUGUUUCAGAAUAUUGCUGUGGAUGGGUCAUCUUCUUGCAUACUUGGUGAACAAAAAAUUGAAGGCUAUGAAGGUGAUGAAGGUGAUAUUGGUGACAGGAGUCCUGAACGUACCGUUCCUGGAAAGCGGUGCAGUAGUACUAGCACAAUUGCAACUAGCCUGAGGAGGAGGACAAAGAUUCUUAUGGUGAAGGUAAUGAAGGGGAUAUGGAAUAGGAAUGCACUGGGGCAAUUGGAGCUUGUGCAUCAAUUUGGAGCUGUGGGCUGCAUGUUUGGUAUGUAUUAUGAAUCUGCUUUCAUGAACAAAACUAAGAAGGUGAAAACUGGUCUUUCUGGAUAUGAGUGGGUCAUGACAACACUUAGCAAUCCAAUAGCCUUCUACGACCUGUUUAGAAUGAGUAGGGAACUUUUUCAUAUGCUGCAUGAUGUGUUGGUGUUAUCAUAUGGACUGAAGUCAUCAAAAAGGAUGAGUCCAUUGAGUGAUUGGCCUUGUUUAUGUGGAUCAUUGGAGCACCACAAUCAUUGAGACAAAGCUGAAAAUCGUUUUGAGAGGUCGAUUGACACGAUUAGUAGGAAAUUUGAACAAGUCUUGGAUAGUGUGUUUAGACUCUCAGCUAAUGUUAUAAAACCUAGAGAUCCUCGUUUCAGAAUAGUGCAUCCUAGAUUGCGGAGUUCUCGUUUCUCACCUCACUUUGAUAAUUGCAUUGGGCCAAUAGACGGAACACACAUCCUAGUUGUUGUUCCAUCAUGAAAGGUGCUUAAGCAUGUUAUUUGACAUGGUUACUCAAGUCAGAACGUAUUGGCUAUUUGUGACUUCGACAUAAGAUUCAAGUUUGCGGUUGCGGGAUGGCUGGGGUUUGUACAUGUUAUGAGGGUUUUCAGCGACACAAUAAACAAAUAUAGUGAUAAGUUCCCUCAUCCGCCGGAAGGUAAAUAAGUAUGUUAUUUAAAUGUGACAAAAAAUAUUGGUUAUGUGUCAUAAUUAUGCAAUUUUAUUAUUAGGGAAAUUUUAUCUUAUGGAUUUGGUUAUCUUGCACCUUACAAGGGAACGAAGUAUCAUUUGCCAGAAUUUCAACAAGGUCCAAGACCAAGAGGUAAAAAAGAGGUAUUCAAUUACUUGCACUCAUCCAUGCGCAAUGUCAUUGAGCGUUCAUUUGGAGUAUUGAAGAUGAAAUGGCGGAUUUUGUUAAACUUGCUGAGUUAUCCAAUGAAUAAGCAAAACAAAAUAAUCCUUGCUUCCAUGGCUCUACAUAAUUUCAUUUGAGAUCAAGACUUCGAUAUGUGUGACCAAGAUGAGGAGUACAUGCCAAUACCGGCGGCCUCUUCUCCUCAAUGAAGCAGUGCUAACAAUCAUUUAGGCGACGAGGAUGUCAACAUGAAUACAUUUCGAGAUUCUGUAGCGAAUGCUUUGUUUGCUAAUGAAGAGUAGAGUCAUUGUGAGAGGGUGUUUGUAAUGACAAAUAGUAGGUAUGCGCGAACUUGUAUGCUGUUUUGUGAAUAUGUAUGUUGUUGUAUUCAUGGACUUUCGGAUCUUCGUGCGACUCAUUCAGUGCAUUGGUGGGAAGCAAUGUUGUAGCUAGUGGCAACCAAAAAUACUAGCUUGGGCAUAAAUAGGAAGUAGGCAUAAAAAAUAUGUAAAAUUAGCUACUGGAAUCUAGAAUCCAAACAGCACAAUCCAGAUUUUAUUUAGAAUCCAGAUUUUGUCAAUUCAACCAAAAUCCAGAUUCUUAGAAUCUGAAUUUGUAUUCAAAUGGGGCCUUAGUCUGGAUUUUGAGAAUCCAAAAUCCAGAAGCUAGCCGGCUUCCAAAUGGGACGGAUUUUGGUGAGGAUUCCAGAAUCCGGAUUCUGGAUUCGCAAAAUCCCGAAAUCUGGAGUUGGGGAGCUUAUGGUGGAUUUUGACGACCAAAUGACCGAAUAGCCCUUCAGAUUUCAUUAGAAUUACCUCCCCUGCCAUCACCUCCAUCCGUCUCUCUCCUCGCCUUCCCCGCCGCCGAAGCCUCCCUCUCGUCGUCGCCGGCCGCGCCCGCCUCCAGCUCGUCGAACGAGGCCCACCGGCCGCGCCCGCUCUAGCUCAUGAAAGGAGGCCUGCCGGCCACCGCGCCAGCCGCGCCGUUCCAGCUCGUCGGAGGAGGCCCGCUGGCUGUCGCGCCCAGAUCCACCCGCCGUGGCGCCUCCUCCUCCUUCCCACCCCUCCUCAUUGAGUCAAGGAACCGGUCCUGGAGGUGCUUGUCGGAGAGGUUGAGCCUAGGGGGUGUGGGCCCAGGUGCCGAGCCACCACCUGGAGAGCAUGGACGAGUGCACGGCAUCUACGGCUGGGAGGAUGGAGAGGACAUGCUCGAGGAUGCCGUCGGGGAGGUUGCUGAUCCGAUCGCCGCAGCCGCCGCCAGCUGCAACCUUAUGGUUUCCAACCAUCGCACGUCUCCCUGUUUGUUGGGCAGAUAUGAGAGAGGCGGGAGGUGUGGUAGGGUUCCUUCACGUAGGCGACGGUGGUGGGAAGCGCCACCAGAGAAGAGAGAUUGCGGCGAGGCGACGACAGCGUGGGAUGAGGUUGGGGACGGGGUGCGGCAUCUGGGUAAUCGGAAUAAGGAUUCUAGAUUCUAAAAUCUAUCCCUCCAAACAGGUCCAUCUGGUUUUAGCUUGGAAUCCAGGUUUUGGAAAUCCAACCAAAAUUCAGAUUUUCAGAAUCUGAUUCUGGAUCCAAACGGGGCCUAAAAUGGGAGGCCAGUAGUCAAAGGUGCGAGUAUUGAAAGUCUCCGUGCAAUCUUUGUCUGGACAUGAUGCUAAUAAUAAUCAUUCUUCAUCUACAUUAGGUCAGCACAUUCUUAUCCUAAUCUAGGUAAUCAAGAUGCGAUGCCCACAAUGUGUUGUCGUUGCCAGAAAGUAAUGGGAACCGGAGGUUAAGGGCGUGCUUGUUCCCGGCCGCAGCUUGUGGCGCCGAUUUCCACCGCCAUGGCCCGUGGCGUGGCAUGCCGGGGACCAAACAGGCUCUAAUUGUAUCAUAUGGGAAGGUAUAACAUCUGGCUAAUGAUUCAUAUUAGAUGACAGGGUAUCUAUCUCCGGGCCUACUGCGGCCAUCAUAUUGUGUGGCAUCAGUAUAUGUUGCUCACACAGUCACACUAUGGAAGCCAUCAGCUCUGGCUUUGUAGCUGCUUUUAUCAUUGUAGGGCUGCAAAACUAGGAAACAAUCAUAGAAAGAGUGUGUCCAGAGAAUUAAAUAUUAGCACAAGUUCCUGGUGUUUGUGAUUGUGGUAUCGCUAUACCAUCUGGAGUUCUGCACAUGGCAUCGCAAACCUGUCUCGCCAUUUCGUCCAGAGAGUACUGUAGGCGAAUGUGUCAUGAUAAAACUGCAAGGAGACGGGAGGAUUAGGCUGGCUGGAUGCAAUGCAAUCGGAAAAGAAAGGGCGCACUGGCAGCUGCUUUGAUCUCUUCCCUGCAUACCCAAGCACAAGCGCGAGAGGAAGAGAAAUAGAGAUUCUUGGAACUGCGGAUGUUACACGUGCAUUGCAUGCAAAUUAUCGGAGUAAUUUUUUUUUCUUUUUUAGGGAAGUUAAACAUCAAGAGCUAGUUUCCGAGGCUGGAAUUGGGAGCAUGCGGCCGGCCGGCCGGCCGAAUUGAAUACUGUGUGCCACUCCCUUGGCUCGGCGAGUUGCCUAGCUGCUAACGAUAUACUCCUUGUCCAUCUCACCGUUAAUUUCAAAAUAAGUAGUGUGAUUAUACGCCAUUUGAAUACAUGAUGAUUUAAAUAACCUAAUCAAACAAUUCACACAUUGGUUCUUAUACAAAGCAUAUAUACCAGUCUACCACAAAGUCAAAAUAAACAACAAAAAGUCACCAAAGAUCGGAGGGGCAGCAGCAGACGGCACACAGAGACGGAUAAAUCACGCGUUGACGCCACAAAAUCAAACACAACGAGAUUCCACCACAGAUCGAAGGGGACGGCAGGCAUGGUGUGAAUGAGCGAAGUGUUACUAUCGAUCUCCACGGUCAGUGAUUUUUCGAAUGUACAAAUAUUUGGGGGAGAAUGUUUUUCGUGUCUUACAGCAAAGAGGCCACAUCUAUCUCAUGGAAGCACACCCCCGCGAUCCUGCUCGUGCCAUGCUCACCACCCCAUGGGAGCACGUUGGCCUUCAUUGUUCCCAGGUUGAGCUCGAUGAGCCCGACCUUCUCCAUCCAAAAGAUCACGGUGCGGCUCCUCUCCCCAAACCCCACGCACCAGCAGAUCAUCCCGUUCACGUCCACGCCGGGCAUGACCUGCUUGCCGAUCCCAUGCUUGCAGAUCACCGCGUCCCGGCUCCACCCCUCCGUCGACAGCGUCCACAUCGAUAUCACCUCAGCUUCUGGGACGAACAUGCUCAGGUUCCCUUCCGGCGUGGCGGCCAGCGUGCAACAACUCCCUGUGCUGCUGCUGCCACCAAGAUAGCCCUGCGGCGGCGGCUCGAUCGCCGUGGCCUCUGCACUGUCGGCGUGCACGGCGAGGAUGAACACGCCGGCGGCACGCUGCGUCGAACGGCAGAUCCAGUGGACGAUGCGCCCGAUGAUGGCCGGGGAGGUGUGCGCUGACUGGUUGACGAAGCACCAGCAGUCGUGCUCCGGGGGUAGAGCCACUAAACGUAUGGCGCCCCACUUGCCGCUGCCGUUCUUGGAAUUUUUUUUAAGAGGAGAACAAAUAUGUAUCAACUGUUGAAUCGGAUACAAUGUUGAAUCGGAUACAACAAUGGGCUAAAAAUGCCAAAGGGGCAAUAAGAACUGCUGUUAAAAAAUGAUAGAUUUUGUUUUUUUAUCUUUAGGCUAUUCACUUUUCAUGUGCUCAGAAUGUUCUGCAGAAUUAGGGACUUUUUUCUUCUAUUGGCCGAUCUUAUGAUGAGAACCAUCUCCAUUUAUGUUUUAUUUCCCCGGGCAACUCCAUACUAAGCUCAAAAGUCUAUGGAGCGGCUAAAUGAUUGAAAAUCCUUCCCUUCAAAAUAUCUGUUUUGUUUAUCUUUUUCGAGCUCGCCCUUCGGGAACGCCACUCUUCCUAUAGCAGAAAAAGCAAUAUCUGAAAUCUUUAAGCAACUAAAAAAGACGUCUAGUAAAAGAUAUGUGUUGUGCCAGGGAUGGUCAAUAACAAGAGCUUGCACUAUCGAUCGAAUGACGGACGAGGAGAAGAUGCAGGUUCGCAGGCACCCGUCCAUGGCGAGCAGCUCGAAGGAGCGGCCGGCGUCGGCGACGGUGAGCAAGGUGGGCCGGUAGAUGCCGGGAUUACCCCACUUGCCGACCUCCCCGUCCAUGUAGGGAAGGCAGGCGACGUUGCCGGUGAAGGUGUUGCAGACGCGCAGCUCGGGCUCGGCUUCGGCUUCGUGCCGCCAGAGGACGAGGAGCCCGCCGCGCGAGGACACGAGCUCCAACGAACGCAGCUGGCCCGUGUCGAAGCGGAGGCGCCAGGACGCCCGGACGAUGUCGUGUUCGUCGUCGCCGCGGUCGGCGGACGCGUAGGAGACGCCGAGGAGGCGGGCGGGGUCGUAGCCGGCGCGGACGGCCGCGAUGAGGCCGACGCGGGUGACGGGGCGGAACCCCGCGCCGAGCAUGGCACGCCGGAGGGGCCUGCUGGCCGCGGCGCAGCGGGCGAUGGACGCGGCGUCGUCCGAGCGCGCGACGACCUCGAGCAGCAGCUCUAGCGGGAGGUGCUGAUCCCCUUGCAUUGGCGGCAGGCGGCGGCGCUUGGUUGCGGCGGCAAAUGGGUUGGAGUACAUGGGAUGGUAUCGUGUCGGCGUCGGUUUCGGUGGGGCGUGUUCGCUUCAGCUUAUAAGCCGACUGAAAAGCUGAAACAGCUGAUUUGUUGUGAGGGAAAAAUAUUGUUUGAUGGCUGGUAAGGAGCCGAGCCUGUUUAUCAUCAUGCGUGCCGCGUGCGGGAGGGGUUGUCGUGGUCAAAGCAGACUUGGCAGCCAAGUUUCCUUCGGCAAUACCGCCACCACGACCUGUAGCCCAAUACACCGGCCCAUCCGCAUCCUACAGGCCCAAAGCUCCCCACGAGCCCAUCGAUCACCUCCGCCGCCGCGUGCCGCGGGCCGUGGCGCCGUGAAGACCGAGACCUAGACGAGCACCACCGACAAAGGCAAGGAACCUAACGCACUGUUGCGUUCUUGUCGCGCAUUGACCGGACCCCUCGGCGCGCGUCAACGCAGGCCCGCGCGCACCCGCCCCACGCGACGCGAUACCUUCGCCGCAACGAAACCGAAACGCCAAUGAAAUUUCCGGGAGUCCCACGCCCACGUACUGCUGUCCACUACCCGUCGACUGACCGGCAGCUAGCGAUCCCUGGCCUAGUGAGUGGGCUACUCCCAAGACGACGGUUGCAGCGUCCGCGCCGCGCGGGCUUCCAGGAUCCAGCCGGCAGCGAUCCAUCGCCACCGUGCCAUGUCCGGCGCCGACGCGGACGCGCCGUCGAGCGAGGGCGCCGAGCAGCUGCGGGCGUGCAGGGAGGCGGCGCAGAGGAUGCGAUGGACGCCAGGGGUGCUCAGUGUUCGAUACGGAGGGUCUGGAAAGCGAGCGUGCCGGUAUGUGGAAGNNNNNNNNNNNNNNNNNNNNNNNNNNNNNNNNNNNNNNNNNNNNNNNNNNNNNNNNNNNNNNNNNNNNNNNNNNNNNNNNNNNNNNNNNNNNNNNNNNNNGCAUCUACUGCUUCGCGGGUCUUCACGUCCGUGGCCGGCGCGUGGUGGGUCGCCGACGCGGUCACGCCCGCCGAGGGGCUCAUCCCCGCGUCGGGGGUGGCCGCCGGCGGGACGGCGUGGUGGCGGACGAGCAUCGGCACCGCGGUCGGGUACAACCCCGGCACCGGCCGCGUCGAGCUCGCGCUGUGCCCCGGCGACAGCGCCCGGUGGGAGAUCGGCUCCGCCGCGGGCACGCUCCACUGCGCCGUGCGCGCCGACGGCGACGUCGUCGUGUUCCGCCUCGACGGGCACGGUCGCUGGGAGGCGGCCGCGACGGUCUCUGUCGCGGAGAUACUGCAGCGACCUCGGAAUCGGGCAGAGCAGGAGCGCACGGGCGCCAUUACUGCCGCGUCCAACAGGAGCAUUUGGAUGCCGCGCGACGACGUGCGGCUGCUGCCGUUCCAGGGCGCGGAGGUGGAGGUGGUGCUGCUGUCCGGCAGGCGCGUGGUGGCGUUCGAAGCGGCGACGGGGCGGCGGCGCGAGGCCGUCCUGCCGGAUCAGCCGGCCGGCACGGACUGGUGCGCCGCGGCGUUCGCCGCGCACACCAACACGCUCGCGCCCGUCGCGCCCGUGGUGCUCAUGGAGCCGCCGGACGAUCAGGAGGACGUCGCGUCGUAACUUCUUGAGUGAAUUUCCAGCGGCUCACCGUGCGCUCGCUUAACUGGUGCGAAGAUCUUAGGGAAUAAUCAAGCUUGUGCUUGUGCAUGAUUUCGUUGGAGAAAUCAGCUGUCUGAGCUGCUAGUUGUACAUAAUCAAUCCGAACAUGCUUGUUCUACUAUACGUGUAGGACAUUUUUGGCCAAAUUAUUCACACGGAAGUUGAAUUAUAUAGUUGGUUUUGUGAUUACUCUAGUUUGAUGGUAACAAUUCAUUGUCUCUUUAGUUCGUCGUUUCCCAUGUUCAAAGAGACAAGAUUGAUGUGACUGUAUUUGUUCUAACAUCGAUAUGAUUGACGAGAGUUAACAAGAGGUCCAUUUGUGCCGUGAAAGACGAUUCCUAUCUCCGAGUCAUGCCGCCGUGUACUUGCACCGAUCUUGCAACACACUUUGCGAAAAGAAAGUGGGGGAAUGGGAAUAAAGCGAACUGCUAAAGGUUGUUGCUAACACGAAACAACCAGUAAUUGGCAGCAUUCGGAUUAGUGUUAACUACUUUAUCGGAUUAUUUAAUGAAACAAAUUCUUUAGGCAUAUCUUUCUUGGUUCAAUUUACUCCUACAACUGUCAAUUGGUUCAGUUUACCCCUCAAAAUUUUGUCAACAACACAACUUCAAAAUUUUAUAUCCAGCUAUGUCAAGAAAGACAUAAUUGCUCUUCGCAUCUUACAAUACUGUGGCGGUAUAGAGCCGCCACCAUCCACUCUAGCCACGCCAUACCUUGUUGCUGCAUAAGGCCAAGGGACAACGCCAUUGCCACUGCACACAACCAUUGGAGCUUCUAUUCAUUGCUACCGAUUACUCCUACGCAAGCUGUCGUUUGCAAUGGGCCACCUUCCGCUAGUUGUAACUAUAUCAACAUCAUUACGUGUUCCGCAAGGUGAGUACAAGCUAUAAAUAUUUAUCUAUGCAAGGAUCAUGUAGUUGUGUUACGUGUUUAAUGAAAAAUGUUACAUCUUAAAAAAAAACUAGACCGGUGGGGUAAGACUGCCCCACGGUUUUGUUUUAAGAAGAAAGCUGAACCUUCCUCCUAGUCCAGAAAAUCCACCGAACCCCGACUUUGCUGACGAGGUUUUUUUUAACCUAACCCGAAAUUCGCUCUCACCAAAAAUCGAACUAGGACCUAGGGUGCUACUAAAGCAUUGCCACCACUAGGCUACAAGCUCGUUCGCUAUGUCGUUUUAACAUGGAGGCAGGCAAGGAAAAAACAUGCUACCUAAGGAUUUUGCUAUGUCAUUUCAUGGAGGGCGUUACACAUUGCAUGGGAAAAACAUAAUGGACACCUAAUAUAAUAGACAAGUCUGCUUAGCUCAAUGUGUUAACUCAUUCGAUUUUCUACAUCACUAAUCCUAUUUGAUAAGAGCACGUGAUAUCUGCAUAAUUUGGAGGGAAGUUCGUUAUGUCAUGCUUCGGACAAUGAUUUUGCAUGAUCGAAGCAAUGCAGAUAUGUAGUAAUUUGGACUCUGAAUAUGUCAACAACACAUACUUCAAAUUUUCGUCCGAACUACAUAUAUGAGCUACUCAAGGUUGCCAUUGACACCCUAAUAUAUUUGACACUUUGCCCUUCAGAUCUUACAAUAUUGUUCUCGUAUAAAUAAUUCCAGUUAGUUAGUUGCUUAUUUAGCUAAGCCCCACAAGACACAAUAUCCUGGUAUUAUACCGUAGUUUGAUUGUGCCACUCUGAUUACUUGAAAUACUUCCGCUGCUCAGUUCUUUGAAUCUUGGUCAAUGAAUGUUGCCAACUCGUGAUAUUUAUUGAAGUGUUGUUGUCAAGAAUUAAAUCAAUGAUGGGCAUGAAUUCAUGUAUAAGAAUCUGGCUGAUUAUUUCUUGUUUCUAUUAUAUGCUGCCUACUGAAAAAAUUAGUAUUUUAAAUAUUUCACCAUUUGAAUUUUCAACACCCACUUAUUUUAAAUAUGAAGUGAGAGCACCAAUAUGCCUCUAAUCCUGUGGUUGUCUGUCCUUAUUUCAAUCCAUAUUUCUAAUAUUCCAGGCUCUAGAUUACUGUCAUUCUUUUUUUUUUUUGAGGAACCAACAGGGGGGCACGAGCCUACCUGAACCGAUUUUCAUUCCAUCAUCAAAGGCAGUCACAUUUUCUCGAGCAGGCGCGGCGCUCGGGGGAAGGUUACUGCCAUUCUUAAGGCAUUAUGAAUCGAGAAUCGAGAUGUGAACCCCACAAUGUAACCAUGAGCAUCGGAAACUUCUUGAUAGACUGGGGCUUGGCUGAGCCAGGCACGACACGAGUGAACAUCUUCUAAUGACGUGCAGUUUGGAAACAUAGCAAAGUCAAGAACCAGGACAUGUUCGGUUUGUUUUUUCGUUGAAUGUUGAUCUCCUGUUGACUCUGAAUCUGCAAACAGCAUAUGAACGAGGGAUUCAAUUGAUUGACAUUCACUUUAUAUUUUCGCUCAAAGAAAAAGACAUUCACUUUAUAUUUUCGCUCAAAAAAAAAAGACAUUCACUUUAUAUUUUGGUAGUACUGAGAUUUUAAGCAAAAGAAAGUCUCACUGAAUCUUUUAGAAACAAGCAAAUCGAAUGGAUGUCUUAAAAGCCCGUUAAUACUACUACAUCUUGGACACAGCGGGCACUGGCAAUUAGCUAGCGAAUUGAAAACUACUCCCUCCUGAGCUCCCUCCUUUCUGUCUGGUGUCCUUUGUCUGAAUCAUCCGCAGGAGAAAGCUUUGGCAGGCGGCGGCGAGUCGGCGACCUUGCCGCCUCACAUCACCGAGCAGCUGUUGGGGUUCUCGUCGCUGAACAUGUUGUCAUUCGGGUGCGGCGGCGGGUGGUACAUCGGCGGCCGGCCGUACCCGUACCCGUACCCGUACCCCAUCGGCGGGUAGCCGGCGCCGCCAUGGACAUGGUUCCCGUCGCCAUUCAUCAUCAUAUGUGGCUGCUGCUGAGCCACGGGGUUGUUCCAGGCUGCCUGCAUCAUCUCCGGUGCAGGCGCCAUGCCGCCACCAACGCUGACACCAGCACCGCCGGGAUAGAGACCAGCCCCCGGCAUCGUGCCGCCGGCCGUCAUGCCAUGCACGGUGGCACUGCCACCUCCCGCCGGCUGCAUGCCAACGCCACCAUUUUGGGGGUGGCCCAUCGGCAUGCCGCCCAUGGGCCUACCGCCAGUCUGGCCCAUGCCGGGGAAACCUGCGCCGCCCAUCAUGUUAGGCGGCCUCAUCAUCAUGCCCGGCUGAGGCGGCGGCGGCGGCGGCAUGCCGCCCAUCAUCGGGCCGCCGACCACGCCGGCGGGCGGGCCACCGGCAGCGACGCCCUUCUUGGCCUGCACUGGCAGCUGGUUCCGGCCGCCUGGGGCGCUGCCCUUGCCGUUCUGCGGCGCCUGCGCACCGCCACCAUUCUUACCGCUGCCGCCUGCGCCACCCUGGUUCUGCUUCGCUCGGAUGAGUUCUGCAAUCUUGUCGCCGAUGUUGGCGUUUCCCUUGAUCUGCACCGGGAUCUUGUUGUCCCUGCCACCAUUGCCGCCCUUCUUGUCGCCCCCACCGGCGGCUGGCGGCAUGGCCAUGGGCUGCAUCAUCAUCAUCUUGUCGUCGAGGCCGUCAUCCUCGAAGUCGUUGUCGUCGUCGAACUCAUCAUCCGAGUCGCUGUCGUCGUCCGCGGGCUCUUCGCCCUCGGGAACGUCGAACUUGACGGCCUUGAGGUCCUUGGCCUUCGCCGGCGGUGCAGCCGCCGGCAUCGGCAUCUUGCCGCCCAUGCCCAUCAGCUGAGGAGGAAGCUUCACCCCCUUCAUCUCCAUCUCCGUUUGCAGUUGCUGAGGAUGCUGCUGGGGCGGCGGCGGCGGCGGCAUCACCAUCUCUUCAUCUUUCGCGCCAUCUCCGCCUCCGCCGCUGCCGCUUGCAGCAGCCUCUCCACCCUUGGGCUGGCCCUUGCCGCCAUUGCCAAGCUGGAGCUUUUGGACCUCGCUUGCCACUCCAGGAUUGGGGCCCCACAGCUGCGCGCGCUUGUGGGCCUUGUUCAGCUUCUUGAUCACGGUGUACGGAUCCAUCAGACCGGACACCGUCACCUUCCCCUGGUCCUUGUCUACACUGCUUUGAAAAACACCUGCACAUAAAUCCAGCACGUUUCUCUUAGGGGGGGAAAAUGGACAGAAGAACAAAGUAGAGCGGCUGAACAGACCUGGUGAUGAAAAAAUAAACAAAGAAAAUCAAGCAAUCUGAUUUUAGAAAAGCUUUCUUUCUUACCGUCAAUCUUGUGGAUGAUCUUCUUGACCUGCUUCUCGCAUCCAGGACAGUGCAUGUUCACUUUCAGCACGCAGGUCUAGGACCGGAACAGACAAAAAAAUUGUUAGCAAAAUUGAAAGAAGGCUGCAGGAGAGAUGCACGGUGAGAUGAAAUCAGGUUGCCUGUAUCGAACACAGAAAGAACAUGGAAUGUGUGUGCUGUUUUCUUGAGUUGCGAAGACGCAAAAAAACAAACUCACCUGCACCUUGAGGAUGUCCUCCUUGAUCAUCUUGAAGGCACGGGUAGGCUUCAGAUCUGAUAAGAGAGCACUCCAAUCAGGAAGUGAAGAAUAAGAACGGCAGCAACCAGGAGAGGAAAAAAAAUCCUUGCUAGAGAGAGCACACCAUCACACACAAAAAAAAUCUAGAGAGAGAAACAACAAACCCUCGCAAGAAUUUCAGGAGUGCCUUCAGUCUUCUCGCUGGAGUGGGAGAUAACUUAGGCUUGCAAUAAAAUACGGUCCAUCACAUACUUAAUCACACAAAAAAUAAAUCUAGAGAGAGAAACAACAAACCCUUGUUAGAGUUUGUGUUUGCAAAAAAAAAAAGAGCGAGGCUAUUAAGCGCCUGGAGUGUGGUCCAGAGAAAAAGAUGAGAGGUAGGAGGAAGAAACCCCUAUUUCUAUCUACCAACAAAGCUAAGCAUAUGAAGGAGUAUUUCGCUUACCUCUUAUUUUUCUUGAGGUCGCCCUUGACCCUGGAAGCUGAAGCCUCCACCUUUGUUCUUCCGAAUUGUGAAAUGAUGAUCUGCAAAAGACUAGCCAAAGGGGGCUUUAAAUAUGCUUAGUCACCUGUCAGUUUUCCUAUGUUUUCUUUCCAAAAUUCUAAUUUUAUAAACCAGUCCCUGUGUGACUUCCAUCCAGUUAGUAAUUUUUUUGGGGGGGCUCAGGAAACAAUUGUUCAAUAGGGGAUAUUUCGUUAAGCAUAUGACAGUAUUUGUCCAAAUGGUUCAAUGAAAAUAUCAGUGACAUCAUUUCCACGCACAAAAAGAAAGAAAGAAAAAUGUAGCAUUCUAGUUGUUAAAUCCUAACACACAGGCUAGGCUAUACAUGGUGGGUUUUAUCUUUUAACUAAAUAUAAGAAAACAAUAUCAACAGCAUAACGUGUUCUGCAAGGUGAGCACAAGUAAAUAUCAAUCUAUGCAAGGAUCAUGCAAUGUCGUUACGUGUGUCAUGAAUAAUGUUACAUCUUGCAUGGAAAAACACACGACAUGAUGAUUCCAUCGUGUCACUGCGUGUUUCAUGAAAAACGCUACCCCUUGCAAGGAAAAAACAUGAUAUGUAAUGAUCUUGCCGUGUCAUUUCAUGGAGGGCGUUACAACUUCCAUGGGAAACAUACAAUGUAUCCCUAAUAUAAUAGACAAGUUUGCUCAGCUUGAUGCAUUAAAGUAUUCGACUCUCUAUAUUACUAAUCCUAUUUGAUAAUAGCAUGUGAUAUCCGUACAAUGUGGAGACAAAUUGUCGUUGUGUCAUGCUUCGAACGAUGAUUUGCAUGAUAUCGAAGCAACACGUGGCGUUCAUACAAAUACGUCAGAAAUGCUCGCUAUAUGUUAUGCAAAGUUACCAAAUUUGGCGGAGCAUACGUUACAUGUCCCAUUAUAGGUGCGACAUACGACAACAACUAAUCAUUGGUUUUAAAGGCAUAGGUGUGACGUGCAAUAGCCGUUAUACUCAAUCAUUGAGAACACGACAAUAAAUGGUCGAUGGUGUUGGAUUUGCCUAGAAAAAUAUAUGAAAAAGUUCCAUAAAAUAUUCUAAAUUUCUAUCUUUGCUAACACGUCCUUCCUUGGAACCACUAAGAUUAAUGGAAAAUGGAUCAAAAAGAGGUGGAAGGAUAUGGAAAUAUUUUGGCAAAGCUCCUAAGAACAGUUCUACCGUACUAUGUAAUUAAAUGUUGUUACCCAUGCUUCUCCCAUCAACUAAGGUGUUCCCCAACUGUAUUAAGUGAAUAGGUUAACCAAAGAACUUGCUUAGGAAUAAUCUUGCAAAGAGGGGCUUGGAUGCAAAAAGUUGAAGAAUGGAUACACAAUGCUGGAUAUUCUGGUAAUUAGCUACAAUCCAACACACCCCUAACCAUUAUCGUCCUCUUGUGUCACUAGAGACAUGACGUGGUGGAGAGUGGUGGGCUGCAGCUAGGCCAGCCAUGCAGACCUCACACCAUCUCCGGUGCAGCCCGCGGUCUGGUGUGUCUAUUAGCGAGGCAGAGGAGGUUGGUGAGUUUGGCACAUUAACUUCUCACUCCUUAAUCUUGUUUGGAGUCUAGGCUGCUACCUAAACUUUUCUCUCCUCCUUCAGUUACUAGUUUGUUACUGUAUUUUAUUAGUAGCAAUUAACUCUUUUUCAAAAACACCUAAACUCUGCUCCCUUUUUCUGUUAGUCUGUUAGUGUCUUUUAGCUAGCAGUAACUCUUUUUUUCGUACUCUGUUUUGAAGUUCACCUCACAGUGACAGACAUUCUGUCUAGGUUCGUGCAAGUACGUCCAAGUCUCUUCUGAACUUUUGUUCGAUUCGACAGCCCGAGUGGUAUUAAGAGAUUUUUCUUUUCUUUUUCUAGUAGACUAUGGGUGACAGUUUGUGUGCUGCUGUUGCAGACACAGUUUGUUAUGCGCUGCAUUGUGACUCUGAGAGCGCAAACACAAAGAUCGAUCCAUCCAUCCACAACGUGCAGAAGGAGCACCGCAUAUUCAGUCAAACGAAUAGAACAGAUAGGCUGGCACCACUGCAUCUUGCAAUUAUGGGUUGCUUGUCACAUUAGAAAAGAUAUACGCUAUGGAAGGCAUUAAUACAUUUCUUAAAAAACAGAAUUUUACAUAGUAGUGCCAAUAUUAGCAUAUCUUUGCAGAUUUUUUAAAAAAACAUAGGUUUAUAUAGUAGUGCUAAUAGUAGCAUAUCUUUGCAGAUUUGGCAUUUAAUUCAUGCAAGAAUACAAAUAUCUAUGGAGAUUUUCACAACCAGUACAUUAAUUUUUUUGUACAAUUCAAUGCCACAGCUAGAGAUAGACAUGUAUGGUCUGCUGUAGCUAAAAAGAUGCCAUUUUAUUAAGUGCUGGAAAACGAUGAUCUAGAGAAAGAGAGGUUCAUAAAGUAGUGCUACUAUCUGUAUAUCUUUAUAGGUACGGCAUUCAGUUCAUGCAAAUAAAUAUGCAUAUAUCAGCAAGAUUUUGUAAGCCAACCAUCACAUUCGAUUUUUUCCCCCUACAAUUCAUUGACAUACACGGUCUGCUAUAUUGCUAUAGCUACAAGCCUAAUAUUCGAUUCACUCAAAUAAAGAUACGUAUAUCUACGAAGAGUUUGCAAACCAAACCAUUAUGUUCAUUUUUUAUACACAAUUCAUUGCCGAUUUUCCACUGCUAGAGAUAGAAAUAGAUGAAUGGUCUGCUAUAUAUACACUAUAUUUGUCAUAAUAAUGUCAAAUGCAUGCUAAAAUGAAAGACAAUACAAGUAGUAGUGCUAGUGUUCGUAUAUUUUUCCAUGAGUAUACGUAGCAUUCAAUUCAUGCAAACAUGGAUGCAUAUAUCUACAACAGGUUCACAAACAACUAUACUUUUUUCUUGUUCUUCGACAAUUAAUUGUUGCCACUGGAGAUAGAUCGAAAAGCACGGCCUGGACCGGCUAUAGCUAGGCAGAUGUCAAAACCUAUUCAAGUGCUAAAUAAAAGAAAUUGUGGAGAAGAAAUGCUUUUUUAUAUAUAUCUUUUUGCAGGCCUGGCAUUUAACUCAUGCAAAUAUAGGAAUAUCUACUAAGAGUUGAAAAACCAAACAACUACAUUGAUUUUGUGGCUACAGUACAUUGUGGCCGCUAGAGAUAGACAUGCAUGCUCAAAGCGAGCGAUGUCAUUGUGUCCUCCGGUGCAGCGGAAGCAAAUCCAGACGCGCCUUAAUCUGAAUUCUGAAAACCAACCCUAGAAUCCAUCUGGGUGCAGGGUAGCAUUUGCAACCAAAAACAUGGAGAGACCCUGUCUAUAUAUACUUGAUGCUGCAACAAGACGACGACGAGUCACUGCACGCAGGGGUACUGGUAGUGGUAGACAUACGUGUACUUGUGUUAUGUACGUAUAUGUAGUAGUUGCCUAGCCCUGUAUCAGAUUCCCGCUGCAUAGAAUUAAUAUGUACUGCUAUCCGCUGAUAGUUUGUAAUAUAUAAUUUGGUUUGCCAUACAUAUAUGUAUGAUUGAUUGGGACUUGGGAGUAAUUGACCUCUAUGUAGAUCUUCCAAGUGGCGUGGUAUAGGUUCUGGCUUGGCUUGCAUUGCAUGUGUAAAGAUCAAUUUCGAAGACCUUUUUUUUCUCUCUUCAAAAGAUGAUGAUUCACUAGGACGUGGUACAAUCCAUCGUUCACUAUACCAGGAAUUUCCGUUCCAGACUAACAUACGGGAACGAAGGGGUAUGCAACUGUGGUUCCCUUUGUCCCAUUAGUCAUGGUACUCGAGCUUUCUUCUCACACGCGAUGAGUCGUAUACUCAUAUUAGGCUGAGUGAACCUACGGAUGACAACCUAAUAGUAUAUUUGUUUUGUUAUUCUUUUAUUUCUCUCUCUACCUAAUUCGUAUUACAAACUCUCGAACUAUCGUUAAGAAGAGGUAUACCAAUACCUCCUUGUACUAUGAACUUGAAAUGUGUCGAUCCACGUUCCGUGUACCGGUUCCUCGAUCCAGUACCUGGUGACACUAGUUUGGAGUAGUGUUGGCCACUUGAUCCAGUCUCUAGAAAUUUACGGUUACAGAAGUUGCAUUGCUUCUAUCAACUUUUGAGACCAACUGAAAUGAUGAUGCAAAGGUUUACGUAGGAAAAAGGUCUAUCAAUCACCAAAUGUGAUCAAUCCGUUGAGGGCGACAAAACAUGCAUCUCCUCCCAUGUCACUCUCACGUGACACACGGGAAGCAACUCUAGCCGCGCCGCCAUUCACCCCACCUUCCUCCCUCCCCACCGCCUGAGCGUGCCAUCGAAAGCCCGUGCGUCCGCAAGGACGGCAGCAACGGAGCCUUCGUUGCUGCCUUGCUGGGCUACCGUGAGGAGCACACCUGUCGUUGAGGCGUUAGCAACCCUGUGGUGAAGGAAGACCUUUGUGUGUCUGUUAUAAUUCGUGUUGAACUGGAAAACCCGGACGUAAAUAGAAUUCAGGAAGCCUGAUCCUCUCGCGUGCUCGGCCUCCUCAGGAACUUACUUUAACGAUCGCAGCUCGGAUCGGAUGGUUCAGCCGGCCGCGACAGGAACUUCUAGCCAGGUCCGAGUCAAACUCAUGCUGCCUGCUACCAAAAUAUAAGCACGGCGAUGUGCACCCUUUGAAUCAAACAAGCUCUACGUAAAUUCAUACAACAUCUAUUUGCUUCGUCGAUCAAGUUCGUGUUUCGCGAGUUGAGACGAAGGCCAGCCAUGGAUUGGGUUUUUCUCCGUGACGGCGAUGGGAGCGGAAGCGACAGCGACGAUGGCGGCGGCAGCAGCGUGCGGGUCGGCAGCGACAGCGCCUCCGAGGACGGCAGCGACAGCGGGUUCGCGAUCGUGCGGGUCCGCAAGGACCGAGCCGCUGCCGCGGCCUCCCCAGUCGGCGGCGCCGUCCGCGACGCGGCGCCGGCGAUGGCGGCCGUGCCAUCACCGACGCCACCAGGGUUCUUCAAGGUGGUGUCCUACGGCGAGGCGUUCUCGGCUUCUUCUUCUUCUUCCACGGGCGGCGGCGUCGAGCACUCCGACUUCCUCGACGAGGCCACGAUCCGGGAAGCCAUCUUCGGCGCCGCCGGCUGCAGCCGAGGCGCUGGGACCGACGGCGGGGACACGGUGACCCACGAAGAGGAUUGCGAAUCCGAGGCUGCCGAGCUCGACGGCACAGGGAGCUCUGUCGAAGCGCCUCCUACGUCUUCGGUAUUGGGGACCACUGUCUCGCCGUGCAACACGCUACCGGAGAUGGCCACUGUCGUGGAGGAGGAAGACGCCGAGAGCUUUGGCGAGGAGGAUGACAUGGAGAACUCUGGUGAGGAGGACGAGGAAGACGACUACGAUGAGGGCUCUGGCGAGAAGGAGGAGGAGAACAUGGAGAACUCUUGUGAUUGUGAAGAGGACGAGGACGAUGACGACGAGAGUUCUGGCGAGGAGGAGGACAGUGAGACCUCUGAGGAGGAAGAGGAUGAUGAUGACGAUUACGAGAGCUCUGGCGAGGACGACUACGACGAGAGCUCUUGUGAGGAGGACGUGGACGAGAGCUCUUGCGAGGAGGAUGACACGGAGACCUCUGAGGAGGAGGAGGACGACGACGAGAGCUCCGGCGAGGAGGAAGAUGAGGACACUGAAAUUUCGGGGGAGGAGGAGGAAGACAGCGAUGGCGAGAGCUCCAGCGAAGACUGCUUCGAGAUCCCGGCGACCAGGCAUAGCACCGACCCUGGUCUUGAGCCUACAGCAAGCGACGCCAACGGCAACGGGAAGCCACCAGCGUUCCCUGGCGGCACCUACGACGACGUCGACGACGACGACUCUGAUGAUGACAUCAUACCCUCUACCACGAUGUGCACCCACAAUACUGACCAAGCCACAGCCAUCGAGGUCCAACUUAUAAAGGAGCUCUUGGAAUCUUUUCCUCACAUGUACGAUUACAUCGAAAUUGACAGUGGCAUGGAAGAGGAGCCAUUCGAGCCCGUUCGUCGCGAGUACGAUGGCAUCCAUAGUUCUUCCGACCUCGACGACAUCGACUACGAUGAGGAUGAUGACAACGAAGGUUCAGGCGUAGGAGAGAGUAGCAAGCCAUCGGAGCUUGUUGGUCGCGUCUACGAUGACGUUGACAGUGGUUCUGACGUGGAAGAGAGCGUCAGUGUGCCGUAUGCCCCUAACACUGAGCCGAGAGUCAGCAUGGUCGGAAAAAGCCCGCUCUCGGAGUUUCUGUUCGAGACGGCCCCAAAAGGUAUGCCGCGUGUUCUUUUGACGCAGCUCUACGGGCGUGCUGGUCGCAGCUACGAUGAAGUUGAUAGUGACUCUGACAUGGAAGAGAGUGGCUGUGAUGCGGAAGAUGAGAGCUGCUGUGUGGAGGAAGAUGCCAUUGAUUGCCCUGAAGAAGAAGAAGACAGCGGCGACGACAUUGAUAAUGGCGAUGAAGAAGAGAUUGACAACGUCCCUGGUGUUUGUGGGCUGUGCGGCCACACUGUCCAAACCAGCAACCGCCCCGUUGAGCUCGGCAGUAUCAGCGACUACGACUGCUUUGACCCUGAGACGGUUGUCAGGCCUGCUAAGGUCAUCUGCAAGAACGGCAAGGCGAUAUGCAUCGUGUACGACGACGACGACAAGCAGGGCGUCGACAACCCCAUGCCAGAAGCCACGGGCCCCAGCGGCGGAGCAGAGGAGCACGUGGAGCCCGUUCGCAGAAGCUACGACAACAUCGACACGGACACGGAAGACGAUGGCGGCCACAACGCCGUAGAAGAGGCGCCCGGCGCGUCCGACACGGGCGACGCGAAGAACCCGACGAGGGGUCCGGCGGGGAAGGAGGUGGCUCUGGAGGACUUGCGGCGGCGGGCGGUGGCGGAGGACACGCUGGAAGUGGAAGACUUGCUGCUGGAACUGCUAGAGGACCUCGAGUCGGCGCGACUUGCUCCGCCGGCGCACGCCCAGGAGCGCGCCGGCCAACGCGGCGCGGGCUCGCCGACGGCCGACCUCACCUUCUGUGUCAUGGUUUAUGUGGCCGCCUAUAUUGCGAUCGUCUGUUUCAGUAGUCUUAGGUAGGAUUCAGUAAUCGUCAGUGUCCAAAUAACUAAUGUUCGUCAGCCGGAUUAGCUGUUGAUUCAAUUCUGGGAUAUGUAAUUGUAAGUGAUCUACUCAUAUUUCUGAUUCAUCACUAUCCUAUAUUCAAACUUUCAAAGUCAAAUAUACACUUGAUAUAAAACAACGAACAAUCAACAACAUGCUCUUGGGAGCUAAAAUGCCAGCCGCGAAACAGAAUGUUAACAUAUGACUGAACGAAAUGCAUAACGUGCAGUUGCGCCCACAUAUACUGGAUUCUCCAUCGUCAGGCGUAGCCGGGCCGUCGCCCGGAAGCAUUGACCGGUGCUGUUAUUCCUGGAACAUAGAAAAACACAGAGCCCGACCGCAAAUAUUAGGACAAAAGUGUUAUCUUGUUGUUGUGCAAUUGACUGGUGAAAAACAGUAAACGUUGGAAAUGGCCAAACAGCUGAAUUUUGGAACUCCACAUGGUUAGAUGAACAGGCACCUAGAGAUAUUACCCCCAACCUCUAUAAGCUCGUCUCGAGAAAGCACAGAUUGGUUUACCAAGAGGUACAAGACCAUAGAUGGACGAGGGGACUCUGGAGAAUGAGCACUGCAGCUGAAAUGGCUGAAUUUGUACAACUAUGGGACUUGUUGCAGCACAUAACGCUUACUGAUUUGCCAGAUGACAUUGCAUGGAAAUGGACAGCAGAUGGGAACUACACUGCCAAAACUGCUUACCUGGCCCAAUUCAAAGGUUCAUAUUGCUCUUUUCAAGCACAACAUCUAUGGAGGGCACAAGUGGAAGGCAAACAUAGGUGCUUUGCAUGGUUGUUGCUUCAAAGGAAAAUUCUGACUGCUGAUAAACUAAUGGCAAGAAAUUGGCCUUGCAGUCCGAUUUGCCCAUUAUGUAACGAUGAACCUGAAACUGCUACCCACCUGUGUUCUUUACCCUUUCGCACUACUGGUCUGGAGCAAGGUCGCUAGCUGGACUGUUGGACUGAUCUCUGUGCCAAUGGCGAACAUGAACCUUCAUGAUUGGUGGUCAUCCUCAAUCAACGCCGCCAGAAAAGAAAAGAGGAGGGCAACGACAACAAUAAUAAUUUACACAACUUGGAAUCUCUAGAAGGAACGAAAUCGACGAAUCUUUGAAGGAGUCCGGCAUUCACCGCCAGAAGUAUUCAACAUGAUUAGGGAAGAGGUUAGUUUGCGCCGAAGCGCCUGUGGUGCACCAGCGAUAGAAUAGCGUUUCUCUAGUGUAACCAUGUGUCAUAAGCUGAGCGUUUUAAUUGUUAUCUUGUAAUCUCAACUAUGUAAGACAAACAAUUUCUCUCCUCCUUAUAUGAUAGGGCAGUGCUCUGCCCUUUUAUGUUUCAAAAAAUACAGUCCCACCAGGAACUUCAAAUUUCAGGAAUAGUUAACAAAAAAAAAACUGUUUCCAGAAUGAUCAAACUCGGCAUUGCAGUAUUCCAUGCUGCAAGUGAAACCUGUGACUCUGGAAGCUCCAGGCUCUAGUUUUGCAGUGCCUGUCUCACAAAAUCCGCCCAGCAACAAAGAUAUUACACGAAUUUUAAGUUACAGCCAUUGAAGACCAAAUCUGUUGUCGGUCCCUCAAUUCCAAAUCUCAUCGCUUCAGCCGUGAAACCGUGACAGUGAACGAUCCACUCUACUAAUAACCAUCUGUAGAAAGCUCCACUCCUAUGAAAAAAGAUCGUUCUAAAAAGGUGACGUGAAGUGUAUGUGCAUCAGUAAACGAAUUGGUGGCCGUCGUGGCUCGACAUGCCAACUAUAUACCAGUCUGCUCGGCGCCGUCUAAUCUUCCGCAUGCAUGAUCUCGCCCAUCAUGAUCCGAUUGCUGUGAACCUUGAACCCCAAAAGAGACGAGCUCAGCCUUGUACCUUUCUUCCCUUUCUUCUGAAUGUCCAAUGCAGCAGAUGCCAUAUUGAACACGGAACCUCCACUCUCACUUGUAGAUUGGAAUUCCGACCUGGUUAUGUAGAGAACAUAAGUUUUCAGCGCAUAAAGAAUGCAUGAGAAGUGUAUGAAACAGGGCUCAAAGGAAUAAAUUGUAGAUGCCUUUAUGCUAUUUGAUUAUAAGCACUGGUAAGACUGUAACCCCGACUUGUUCUUAUGAAUAAAAACCAUGUACGAGAUUAAGAAUACAAAAUAAUAUGCAGCAAGAUAAUCCCAGGAUUCAGAUCCUCUGUGAAGGCAUUGGAGGGAGCACGAUGACUGAAUAUUAUAAGCUCAUCUAGUGAAGUGCUGGAAACCAAACUAACGUGUUUCUACUUGUGGGUAAAAAAGGUAGCAUAGGAGUAUCAAAACACACAUGAACGACUUCAGAAAUACUAAUGGACCAAUGGCGCAUGGCAGCUAAAGUUGUGUAUAUCGAACCGAAGAAGCUAAUCAGUCUAAGCACCGCUCGAUCUAUGCGUAACAUGGACCUGAGCAGUUUGAUAUUUUAAAGUCAAAAUAUGUUACAUCAAAGUGCCCAUAUUUUGUUUAUCCUGCUAGAAACAAUUGAAGCUACCCAUUUUUACCUUUUAUUCAGUGCACAAAGAUUGCAAUUUACCUUAUAACCCCUAUAUAUUUUAUUACCAUAUAUUUGGGAAAAGAUACAAAAUACAGUGUUGUGCAAGAAAAGUUGCUAUACCAUCGGACAUCUGAAUGACAUUUUAUUCGUGACCGCAGAAUAACCAACAUAUGCACAAGGCCAAAGAAAGUUGUGUUGUUGAAGUUGAAAGAUCAAAGACCAAAAUCAUAUUGCAGACACCUCAAUCUUGAAAUCUAGUAUUUUUUCAAGUCAAAAUGCAGGUUCAAGGACACACAUCAUGAAUCUUACUACUACGUACAUUAAAACAAGUUUAACAGAUUAAACAGACUCAAAACCAGAGAGUAUAUGCGAUGGAUGUGAAUAAUAAGUUGCACUACUGACAUGUCCAAUUGUCCAAUUGUCCAUUAAACAAACACUUGUCACAUGACGCAAAAAAAUAACCAGAAAACUCUCACGGUUUAGUUGCAGAUCAACUUUAACAGAAAAUCCUUAAGUGCUAUUUAAUGUAUAUUAGUUGUAAGUUUGCUAGCAGAGGGUAUAAGUUCGGAAAGGUCAAGGUCCAAAUUUUCAUUGAUAAGAAUGAAGAAAAGCUGAAAAAGUUAUCCCAUAGCUAAAAACAUACUUAUCUUGCUUUGCAUGCUCACGAGACCCCCAAAAUAGAUCCUCAUCAGAAUUAGUAUAGGAGUGACUGGAAACAUGGGAAGUCAUUUGGAGGGUUUUGGUAACCCCCAAUGGAGGUGAUCCAGAACCUUGCAAGGAUGAAUCAUUCCCAUGACUUUGCUGGUUCAUAGGCUCUUUUGCAUGGGAUGAUGCUGGUACUACUUGUUGCAGACUACCUGAUUCCCGUUCUUCCAUCUGAAUAUCUCUCAGAGACAAUGGUUCGCACACCUGUAGAGUGUCAGUAAACCAUGCUGGGCCAGGUGCAGCAUUUGCUUCAUCGUUCUUCCAAGGAACAAAAUCUCCCAGAGAUGGAGCACUUGGCUGAGGAGGAAGUUCGUCCUUUUCUUGCUGGGCCUGCUUGACAGACUUUCCCUUUUCAAUAGGCACAGAUACCACAGAUGGAUUAAACGAACCAAGUGGUGCUGGGGCUUUAACUGCAGAACCUUUGGAUUUCUCUGCCUUGUUCCUGUUCUUUCUUGUGUCCUUGACCUCAAUGAAAUCACCAUCAUCAAGAUAAUGAGCAUCACACUGAGUAACAUAAGGUGCCAAAGGAGGAAAAGAUGUAUCAUCAGCACUGUCUAUGAUGACAGCAUCUUUAUCAUUCGACUUUACCAGUACCUCUUCCGCCAAUAAAUCAUGCAACUGACUUCUCUUAGUCCGUGAUAUAUUGACAUUUUCUCGAUGACCCAUAGAUUUAGUCUCAUCUCCAAACUGUUGCUCAGAAGUUUCAGCCAAGCUAGCCCAAGGAAUAGAUAACACCGAAGGCGCUGUUGUAGUUACUUUAGCAUUUUCCUUGGCCAUUUCCCUCUGUGCUUUCAAUUGUUCCUCUGCUUGAAUUUCCAACAGUGAUUUGGUUCUAACACCUGGAGGAGGUUUCCAUGACUGAGGAUGGGUAGAGGAAAUUUCCACAUCAUGAACUUGAUUGGAGAUAUGAGAUGAUACAUUUUCCGAUUUUGCAAGAUCUUGAUACGAUCGAGGAAAACCUUUCUCUUCAUAAACAGUCACCUUGCUGCCCUCAAUAGAUCCAGAGUUCAGAGUUUUCUUAGAUAGUGAGUCUACAGUACUCUCUUUUCCUGAAGGAGCAUCAAUAACUGCAAAGUACCGCGUGAAACUAGCAGAACAUUCUUUCCGAGGUGCAUGGCCCAUCAUCUCAUGGGGCAACCAUAAAGCAGGAGCCCAACUUUCCGAGAAACCAAUAACCUGACCAGGCAGUUGUAUCUCAUGCAUACCAUGACAAGGUAACUUCUGAGCAAGUUCAAGUAUCUCUUGUGUUCUUUGAAGACAAAGCUUCAAACAAUCACCAGAUGACAAUGAAAUAUGAUUUGUCCCAUAAGGAUCAUAAAGCUGCUGCGAGGAACAAUCAUGAGGUGGGACCUGAGAAAUGUGUUGUUGCUGUUGUUGAUGCUCCUGCUGCCUGAGUUGUAGGAUGUUGUUCAGUAGAGAGGAUUGAGGUUGAGGGAUUCCAGGCAUCAGUGGCUGCAACUGUAGUUCUGAUGGCAGAUACUGUUGUUGCGAUAUGUUUAACUGAGGAUACUGAGAUAUUUCACUGAGAAAAUUUUCUGGCUGCAUGAUUUGUGAGUUCAAACAAGCCAAAGUUGGUUGAUUCUGGGAUGCAGAGUAAUGCUGUUGAGGAUCAAUACCUAUUUGCUGAGAAUUGUGCAGAUUUUGGUGCAUAUGUACCUCUUGAACAGGAUCUAUACCGCACACACCAGGAUGCAGAUUCCCAGACUCAGGAGUAUCUGACCAAAGUGGCAAUCCAGAAUUAGUAGCAGGUGCUUGAUGUUUUCCUGCAGGAAGCAGCACCGAGAGCAGGUUAACAUUCUGAGGUUGGAGAGCUUCACUUGAUGGGUCAAUCAUUUGAUGGAACAAUAUUGAGUGCGUAGUUGACUGAGUUGAAUCUUUCUUUUGUUUCUGUGCAACUGAUAUGAUAUCACCUUCUAUUUGAAAGGAAUUCUCCCUCUCUAACAGCCUCUUCUGUUCUGCAAGAUAGUUUACGCUAUUCACACCAUCACUGCCAGAAACAAAAAGGUUGCCAAAUAUACUGCUCCGUUCAUUCAUGCCUGAAAUCAAAAGAAAACGGCAUCACAUCUUGGAACAAAAUAUACAGGCAGAGAUAAAAUAAUGUCAUGAGAUGGGCAUAAAGAAUGACAUUGAUGAGAAACCAACCUCUAGUGACAGGGCUAGUUUCUGCUCUGGGAUUCUGGGUGUUACUAGACAUUGGAGACUCCAGAAAGUGAUUUUCAGCUUCAGUUACACUACCAUUCUUGUUUAUGGACCCGUAAUCAGAUAUCUCAAGAUAAGCUGAUCCUAGAUGUGGCAUACUUCUUGGUUUGGCAUUGCUGAAGCCUGGAGGCACCCUUACCUUUGCUCGUAAGUGUGGCAUGACAUCCCCAAGUAAUAAGAAAGGAGAAUCACAAGGAGCACUUGCAACACGGACCAGCAAAUCAAUACCAUAAAAACCAGCCUCGAACCAACCAAUGAUGUCAGAUCCAGAAAAAGGGCCCUGGGUUCGCCCCUUUGGAUCUUUGUAGUAUAAAGAAAGGUUUUCUGGACUGACAAUGUCAUCUACACCAACUUUAGUUCCUGGGUCCAAGUCAUUGUAUUGCUGUCCAAAUUCAAUAGAUGGCCCAUGGAUAUGACCACCAAUAGACUCAGAUUCUUGUGGAGCAGUAUAAGGAGAUUUAUCAGACUUUAAGCGCUCGCUUAAAUCAGCACCCCCAGGAAUUCCUAGCAAAGACAACACAGAUAAUACAAUUUAGUGAAUAAGCUAUAAAAAUUUAUGUGAGAAGAUAAAGCAGUAAUGCAUACUAUCAUGAUUACAAUUUUAAAGGGCUAAGGAUCCAAGAUGCAGGCAAAAUGCAACAAAAUGGAUAUCUAUAAUAUUGGUAUACACCGGUUUUUUUCUUGGGUAGCUGUAAUUUCAGAUGAAAUAAAUUGAAGGAAAUAGAUUGAAUACAUUCACCAGAUUUGGGUACUAUCCACAGAACAUUUCCUAGGUGCAAAAAUCAUAAGUAUAUCAAUCCUGCAAACAUAUUAUCCUUUUAUUUAUUUCUAUAAGGAAACAUGUGGAUGUGGUUGUAGGUUAUCUGGUUUAAACGGUAGCAACAGAAAAGGAACACCAUAAAAUAUUCUGAUGAAUACAUUCAGAAAUAUAUUUUUUUUAGUAAAUUUGUCACUCUCAAGCAUGAACAAGUCUGCUGAUAUGAAUCCAUCAAAGUUCCAUGAAAUGGCUGUAUUUAGAGCAUAUUAAGUAACACCAUUACACAAUCCUGGGGAGAACACCACACGGGAAGCUGGUACUAACCAAAUACAUUGAAUUCACAAUAUAUGCAUGAGCUCUACCACAUACCUCUGAUACUUCUGGUUAUUUUGCCCUUGAAAUCUUCACUGCUUCCUGAUUGAUCUUCUUUUCCAGCUGCAUAAAGGGAGUAAAAAACAAUCAGCACAUGAUUCAAAAGCUUCUGCACAUUGAUAACAAAAGUCAGAAGCUGCUUCUCACUUAGGUUUGAUUGUUCUAAUGGCACCACAUCUGGAUUACUUUUUCCAACAGAACCAUCUUUGCAAGCUUGUGCACAACUGUUUGUGACAUCUCCUCUUUCAAUUCCUUUCAAAAUCACCUAUUAACACAAGGAAAAUUAAAAGAUAAGAAUCUUAUGAUCACAAGACCUCCCUGUGCCAGUAAAGACAAAAUAAUAGUAAAAAUUACCGCUUCUUCAGCAUUAGGUGCGAUGAGGGCUAAAGGCUCCAUAGGAUCUUCUUGCCACAGUGAGAUAUCCUCAGUAUCAUCUAAUGGCAUUACAAAGUUUCUAACAUCAGUUGUUCUGUAAAUUUCAAGCAAUUUCAUCCUGCUAUAUCGCAGAGAGUCUCUAGAUGCACCACCAGGCCUGGCAGAAAGUACGCCAAGGUGGAAUGGGCGUGAAGAUUGACUAUUGACUCUGCUCGUAACAGAUGUAAACCUUCUGUGAAAACUUGUAGAGUUUGGGCUAUCACUUUCCUGCCUCUCCCUACUGUAUCCAAAUGAAGCAGAUGGCUUCUGCGGAGCCAGGGAAAGAUGAUCAGAUGUACCACCCGUGCCACGGCUCACAAAAUUGCUGGAGUUCCAUGACCGAGAAAUAUUACUACUGUAUGGCUUCUGUGGAGCCAGGGAAAGAUGAUCAGAUGUACCACCCGUGCCACGGCUCACAAAAUUGCUGGAGUUCCAUGAUCGAGAAAUAUUACUGUCCCUUUCAUUCCCCUGCUCAGGAUCACAAACAUCUUUCCCAUGACCUGUAUCGUGAGAGAAAACUUUUUCACGGGGAGUGUCAUCUUUUCUAUCUGAAUAUGACCUGUCACGCCAAUUUUCAGAAUCUUUAUUACUGGGACCCCUGCGAGCAUUCCACUUAUUAUCACGGCAUCGGUCAUAGUUUCCCUCCUUACUAUGUGCGCUUCCCCAGCGCUCUUGUGGACUCGGGUGGCUAUCAAGAUACUGCUUGGAGUCAUCAUAGGGCCGUCCCAUCUUGUUCAUAUCACUAUGUUCCUUUUCCGUUUCCCUCCACCGAAUUCGAUGGGAAUCUGAAUUCGGUUUGGUGUCAUCAUCACAACAUUGGUCACGGUGGCCUGCUAUUCUAUCAAACACAGAAGGCCUGAAAACAUCUCUUUUCUUUGCAGUAUUGUUCCUUUCUUCACUGUUUCCUGAUGUGUUUGCAGAAUUAGAGAGGAUACCAGGUGAAUCAGUCUCCUGCAGCAAACAAAUGAACAUCAAAUACAUAAGACAUCACUAAAACAGAAACGGCAAUCUGAGGGUAAUAGCUAUCCAAAAGAAAUUCUAUUACUCAGCAGUCCACUUUGGUAUUGUUACACAUAAUUAGCCAGAAUAGCAAAAAAGAACAGUUUUCUGGCCCUAUAGAAGUUACCAGGCUUUAGUCCAUAAGAUCUUGCUGAGAAGGGAAGAGAAAGUGCUACUAGAAAAACUGAUUUGAAUUAUUGGUAAAAGAAAAUGUGUUGUAUACAUAUCUUCUACCCAAGAAGAUAUGAGUCCAAGGGGCCAUGAUAUGUCUACUCUAGCUAUCCUUUACUUCUUACGACAGUUGGAUACCAAGAUUAUACAGAUUCAAAGAAUAUAUGGUGUCCAAACACCCGUAGAUACUUGUCCAGUUCUGUCAUUACCUUGUUUUCCCCCAGUUGUGGCUCAAGCAAACGAGUAGAGGGUGUGCUAUUGAUAUCCAGUUCUGGUUUGUCUGCAGAAACAAAAUAGUACCAUAAGUAAGCGCAAAAUCAUUGUGUUCAGAAACAACAGAGACCAGGUCUCCAUAUUUAACCAGCAAAUAAUUUCCUUAUGGACAAGACAUGGACAGUCCAUAGUGAAACAUAAAUAUAAAAGGCAAAGAAACAAAAAUAAACCACAGAAUUCAAGCAUCUGUACAACUGUAACAGAGGAUAUUGGUUAUGCUACGUUUAAUGCAAUAGUGUGAAUUUGCUUGCACAGAAAAAAUAAAGCUCAAAGCUAUGAAGUAAAACAAGCAUUUACCAAUUUUGUCGUUUCAAAAAAAAGAAACAAGUCAAGUUCUUAGUUGUUACAGCAGUUCAUUGUAAGAGCUUGCACUUAAAACCAGUAACUUCAACAUAAGAUAUCAUGAUUAGUAGUGUUUCAUUAAAGCGGAUCUACGGAAAAUGGUACUUUUGAAGGACCACUGCAACCAGUAUCACUGAAGGAUUUGUAACGGUAAAGGACUGACCAAAAGAGGACCUGAUAGCGAAUUAGCGAUCACCAACAAAAUCUAACAUCUACAUGACACAGCUCGAGAAGACCAAGCAAUAUAGGGUAUAUCGUAGUGCCACUAAACGCCAAUGCAUACGGUACAUAACCAUAACCAGCACGUCAGCGAUCAAAUUUUUCUGACAAAAAAAUGUAUAAAAAAAGUGAGAAAAUCAGCACACAACAAGCAGUGCUGCAAUCAAAUCUAACCAAUCCAAAGUCCGAACUGUAGUCCUACAUGCUCGACAUACUAAAACACAACACCCAUGCCCCCAUACAAAUUAACUCUAAUGAAGAAACAUUUUCACUCUGACAGAAACCGUAAGGUCGAUCAUCCACCAAACCACCGAAGAAAACCCCAACGGGAGUCGCAAGUUCGCCAAUUUGGUUGACGCCUACGCCACCCAAACCCCGCAAAAACCAAAAGGCCCCAGAAACGGCGCGCGAACCCGUGCACAGCGCGCACGGAGCCGCGCGCCGCCUCGCACGCACGCACGCACCGAGGGAUCGAUCAACCACGCCACCCAGCGGUAAAUUAAGCCAACCCACCAAGGUAGGGCUCGCGUCAGCGGCCCAGCGCUCCGGUUCAAGCGCCCGAUCGAAAGGACGCGGCGAGUUGGGGGAGUGUGGGGGUGGGGAGGGGGGGGAUCAGUUAAUCACCUUGGGUGUUCUCGGGAGGUGGAGGCGCGUCGGGGGUGGAGCAGCGGUUGGGGUCCGCAUUCUCGCGGUCGCCGUCGUCGGCCAUGGAUGCGGCGGUGGCGGCGAAAGCCCUAGCGGCGGAGGAGGAAAUGGGGUUUUCGGGAGGGGAGGCGAGAGCGAGCGAGAGGGGGAGAGGAAGUGCUGAGUGCCUGAGUGGGGGUUUACGAGCUUAACGAGGCGGAUGCGAGAGAGGAGACGUGGGAUCGCGUACAAGUACAACCAGCUUGCUGCUUUCCACGUGGCGGGGUUUUGCGUGCAGGCCCUCUCCUUUAGUCCGUAAUUUUGGACGGCCGCUGAGAAACAUUUACGGUUUACACCCCAACCUCCUCUGAUCGUUUCAUUUGUUGCGCUUUGGCAUCUUUUACUUACUUCGUGUGCCAGACGCCCAGACGGUGUGGUGAGGACUGAGGAGUGCAUUUGCUGCGGGAAUCGCAAAGCAUUCACAGCACGAUAAGCCUGGCAUUUGGACGAUCAUUGAAGAAGUAUAUGAAGUAUGGAGAAGAGGGAAAAAAAAGAAAAUACUAGGGCUGGAGCACUCGAUACUAGCACACCAAGGAUGAUUUGUGGGAUGCCCACAAAGCAAAGUGAUGUUGAUCACGCGAGAAUACAUUACAAAGAGAAGUAGGAAAGGAAGCGCACGUAGCAAGCAAUUGAUAGUGAGUUUUGUUGCUUUGAGACAUGGAACAGGGUAAAAGUGCGCUAGCUUAGUUCCCAUUCCAUAUAAAGAUGCAUGAGUGUGACUGGAGGUAUCAACCGUGCCAAUGGCACUUGAUGUGUCACUAUAAAUGGAAAAAAAAAAGAUACCUAGGCACUUGAUGCUAAUCACUAUAAAUGGAAAAAGGAAAAUCAACCAUGCCUAGCCACUUGAUGCUGAUCACUAUAAAUGGAAAAAAGGAAAAUGAUACAUCGUGGGAGAAGGGGAGAAAAACCAUGAGAUAAAAGGGGAAAGUUUACGACACCUUUCAAAUAUGGAAUCGACUAGAGCACACCCUUCGCCUGCUACUGUUGUAGUGGGAUUGCUCUAGUGAUGUUUUUUUUAAGGAACAGGAGGGGCAGAGCCCCUACUAGUUAAUAUAUUAAUAAACAGGAAAAGGUACUUGUACAAAAGAAAUAAAAGACAAAAAGGGGAAAAAACUCACUAACUAGAGGAGGGCUACAGGGCAUUAAGCCAAGAUUCCGCAGGGACAAGGCCAGGCUUAGUAGCUCUUAGAAGAACAAGGCCUUGUUUAGUUGGCCAAUUUGGGAGGUGCCAAAUUACUGUUACAGCACUGUAGCACACUGUAGCGUUUCGUUUGUAUUUGUGAAUUAUUGUCCAAAUAUUAACUAAUUAGGCUCAAAAGAUUCGUCUCGUAAAGUACAACAAAACUGUACAAUUACUUUUUAAUUUCAUCUACAUUUAGUACUCCAUACAUGUACCGCAAGUUUGAUGUGAUGGGGAAUCUUCUUUUUGCAUAGUGUCAAAGUUGGAAGUUGGGAGUAACUAAACAUGGCCCAAAGGAAAAUUCAGAAAUUUGCUCUGACAAUAUUGGUAAUGCAUGCUUCGGCUGCUGCUGUUGCAGUGUGGCGAUGCUUGUCUCCUUGAUCCGACCGGUGCACGCGCAUUGGCACGAGGCAAGGACAAGUGAGGCCACAACUAUAUUUGUAAACCUCACGGUUACAACCACAUUAUGUUUGAAUUUUUUGCAAUGCUUCGAAGAAGCAAUAGCCAAACCACAAAGCAGUGAACACACCAUACUCCACCCAAAUGCUUGCCCCAAACAACCAAGCCAGAUCGAUAACAACGCUGUUAAACUUAUUGGAGCCCAAAGUCAAGUGCAUUUUCGAUCUCAUCACUAUUGAUGAGUCGCCGGCCACACCUGCCAUUGAGUUUACCUCGUGCAUUCUAUCCUAGUACCCUAUAUGGUAUUCUAUCACCAUGGGCUUCACGUGCACCGCACUCAACUAUGUGGGAGAAGCUCAUCAGGUUAUUAUGGUUGAUGCAACAUGUGACAAGCAUAUCGUUGGUUUCUCGCAACAGAGUUCAUGGUAAACAUGCAUGUUAGCAUGCGGUGUAGCCUAGGGGGCAAGGGCAUAGGGGCCAAGGCCCCCAAGGCAUGCAAAAUUCCACUAAAAUUUUAACUAAAUUUUGAAAAUUUUAACACUCUUACCCUCCUAAUCAUGUAAAAUUUAAGUUUUUGGUUCCGCCACUACUGCAUGUUCACCAUAUCAUACGCAAAUGAAGUUUGGCAGCACUCCACUCCAGAAAAAACAGUUUCAAUCCACCAACUCUAUCAUUUUGCAGCUCCACUCCACCAACUUCAGAAAAACAUGGAGUUGAUUAGGGGUGGGCACUUUUAAACCGAAACCAAAAGAACACCAAAUCGAACCAAAAUGUCGGUUUUUUCAUUUUUUCGGUUCGGUGUCAGUUUUGAUUUUUGCCCGAAUCGAUCCUCGAUGUCGGUGGUUUGGUUCCGCUCCGCGCGCGCCGAACCGAACCACCGAAUCACCGAUGUGUUACUCGCAACCGUUCAAUCCUUACUCUCCGGUGGCCCACAGGGACUUUGGCCCAUCUUAGCCCAAAGCCACACCGCCCCUGUCCUCUGACCAUCGAUCCUCCUUUCGCCAUUCCUCCGUCCGACUCUUCUUUCCUCAUCCUGCUCCCGCAUCAGCGUCGCCUGCCCCAUCCACCACAGCUUCGUGGGAUCCUAUCCUUACUAUUGCGGCCUUGUGGGCUUGCGGCGCGGGCGAGCAGUCACCGACCAAGCGCGUGGCGGCGAGGGCACAGGCGAGUGGGCACUGCAGCGCUGCACACGCAUGGAGCAGCGGCGGUGCGAGUGACCAACCGCCAGCCACGGCGCACGUCCCAAGCAGCGGCGGCGUGGGAACGGCCGCGGUCAUGCGUUGUGCAGCAGCGGCAUGGCCCGAUCUCCGUCUCCCAACUAGGCUUGGACAGGGACAACGACGACAGAGAUGAGGUAUGGAUUUCGGUUUGACUUCAGUGAAAACCGAACACCACACUGAAAACACCAAAACCGAAUUCCUCGUUUUUUUUCAAUAUGGAACGAUCGGUUUCCAUUUAAAGUUGUCAGUUUAAACCGAAUGCCCACCUCUAAAGUUGAUGUAUGUAUUUGGCUGAUUGCAGUUCUCCAGCUCCAAAAAUAUAAAGAAUUAUUGUGAAUAGUAUAUUUUAUCCUUUAUAAACGGAUCCAGUGGCAGUCUCCUCUCUUUUCUCCUUCCUCCUCUCUUUUCAGUUUUGGACGAGAAAUCAUGCUGAGCUCCACGCCAUGGGCAGCGCGUCGUCCCCGCCGCCGUCUUCCUCUCUCUCUGCUGGCUGGGAGACCACCAGCACAUGGCGGCGCAGCCCGGCCGGCGGCAGUGGCGCAGCGCUGCCCCGCGGGGGACAAACGGCGCGGCCCCUCGCGCAGCAGGAGGCGCAUGCGGCGCGGCCCCGCCGGCGGCAGCGGCGCAGCGCGGUCCCGCGGGGGGGAACAGCGCGGUAGGAGGCUCAUCGGAGGCGGAGGCGUGACGAAUGACAGACAGAGACGGCACACGGCACCGACGAGUUCACGCGCCGGCACCUGCCGUGGCCAUGGCCGGGGGACACCGCUCCGUUUCAUUUGAGAGUUUGAGAUCUGACAAAUCGAAGAUAAAAGACACUAAAAACAAAUUGAAGUUCUUCCUGAAAUAACAUCCCAUGAAUGAGUUAUGGUUGCUCGAUUGCUUGGUUGCUGCACGAUUGAUUGCUUGCUGCCUGCAGGAGCAACAAUGAACAGACAGACCUGCCGCUUGCCUACAAAUUGCAGAUCGACGACACGCAGGAGACUCACCCUGGCAGGUGAGCGGCGCAGGGGUAGGGAGGCCACCGGCCGUGGCGGACAGCGCAGCCUGGGCGGGCACUGGAGACGCGGCUUGCGGGUGACGGCGGUGUGGAGGCUAGCCCCGACGUGGCCAUGGUGAGCGCCUGAGCGGCGCACGGGGCAUUGAGGCCACCGGCGGGCGGCGGCAGUGCGGAACGGCGAGCGAAGGCAGCGCGACCUAUCGAGCGACGGCGGCGCGGCCUCGAUGGGCCCACGAGUGGUGGCGCCAGAGGCCGGUCCCGGCGACGGGAGGGAGAGGAGGGAUCGUUUUGUUUCGCGAGUUGCGUAUUAGGGUCCCCAACCCCACGAGGAUGUGUGAGGUAAUUAGGGAAAAACAUGGAUCUAAUUCUAAACUUCAUGUUUUUUUUGGAGUUGGAGUUUAUGAAGCGGGACUUGUUUAACAGGAAGUUUCGUAGAGUUGGUGAAGUGGAGCAAUUUUUUCUAAAGUAAAGUGCUGCAAAACACCCACAGCUCUCUAAAAAUCUGACACAUGAAUUUCCGAUCGAUCGAACAUAUUUUAGUCAAUUUAGCACACAAUUCUCUCUCCACUCACAAAAAUGAACAUUGUUACCGAUUCUUGCGUGUGCUCAAGCAAAUUGCCAUGAAGGAGCAAUGUCUACCAACAAAACCAUAACUGAGAAGUGCAAAUUUUGCCGAGGAAGGAAGCUGAGGCUAUGGACUUCCUUAUUUGGAUGUUUUCAAUGGUUACACGUGGCAACUCAGUAUCCAAGAUGUCACGCGAGGUUAAUGAUGUGUUCGUCCUUGGACCUCCGACGACACAUGGUCCAUAGCUGGUUGACGAAGAGCCAAAGGUCCGGCUAGAUUCUAAAACACUCGCCUACGUGUCACGCGGGAAUUCCAGGGUGGCCGGUGGCCCCAUGCAUCCCGCAGCCUCACAAACCGACGACCUCUGCAGAUGAGGCAAACACCAACCACCCGCCAAGAUCAACAACACAACAGAACGCAACAGAAACAGAAAGAGGGCAGCGAGCAGGGGAAUGAGGAUGGAUCCUCCUCUCCCCUCUGCUAUUUUUCGCCCCUCGUGAGAUGGCGGCGGGGUGGAUGAAAUGCCCUGACGUGCGCGUGCCCGGGUAGCGGGCGCGCAGGGCCUGGCCUCCGCUGCUUGCCCUGACGUGCGCGUGCCCGGGAGCGGGAGGGGCGGAGCCGCGACGCCGUUGCGGCUUCCUCCUCCUCAUCCCGCCCCCACCCCGUAGGGGCGCCGCGGACGUGAGCGAGUCCGUCCGUCAUGUCGUCUAAUUCUUCGACCAGCCCGCCGGCGGCUCCGUCGCCGGCGAAGAGCAGGCCUUCUCCUUCGACCGCUCCGCCGCCGUCAGCGGACUCCUCGUCUCAGCCGACGGCUUCAUCCUCUCUGGCGCCAUCCGGGCACAGCGACGCCUCGCCGCCACCGCCACCGGCGCCGGCGAGGUCCCAUGGCGCUCCGUUCUCACCGGCCAAGACCCACCCUCCACCAGAGCAUUCGUCUAGAGGCUCCGGUGGCGGUGGCAGUUCGCCACCGGCUUCCGUGCACCAUGGCGGCCCCACCAUGGUGGAAAUCGUUUUCGCCGCUGCCGGCGCGGUGGCGCUCCUCGUCAUCCUCAUCGCGGCCUGCGUCUGCUGCUCGAGGAGGACCGCGCCGAGGAGGAGGAAGAGGCCUCACAAUCCCAUGCAUUACUACG